UCUCUCUCUCUCCAUUUCUCUCUCUCUCUCUAUGCUUCCCCUAAAACGCAUCAACUACCUCGCUCCCAUGCUCGCCUCCGCCCUCCUCCUCCUCCUCCUCCUCUCCGGAUCCCUCGAGUUCCCCUCCCUCUCCUCCCCCUUCCCCACGCCCUCCACCCCCGUCGCCACAUUCGACCCUGUCGACCCCCGCCCCUCCGACCCCUUCACCGACCUCCUCUCCGCCUUCGCAAGGUGGGACGCCGAGAUCGGGUGCGCGCGGUUCAGGGACAGGUACGGCGGAUGGACGGCGAGCGCGUCGGCGAUCCAGGACUCCGACGGCGGGGGGGAUUGCACGGUUACGGCGGGGGGGCUCCGGCAUGUUAGCGUUGUUGUGAAGGGGUGGACCUGGAUCCCGGACAACCUCGACGGGUUCUACUCGUGCCGGUGCGGGAUCACGUGCUUGUGGACGAAAUCGGAAGCAGUCGUGGAUAAGCCCGAUGCCCUGUUGUACGAGAAUGCGAUGCCUCCGAGGAAGGUAUAAUACUCGUCAAUUUUAAUUUCAUUGAUUUCGUCUUGUGUUGGGAGUAGAAAUUGGAACCGAAAUGGUGUUUUUCUUGGUGAAUUUACUCAAUUUGUGGGAAAGAUGGUAAUUUGUGGAGUCAAAUGAGAUUGAAUAGUGUAUAUGUGCGUUGAAUUGGGUGACGAUUCUUGUAAAAAGGAAGCUCAUAUGAAGUCCUCGAUGAAAAACUUAGCUUGUAGGGUGUUGGUGUAUUUUGUUUACUUUAUCAACGAGGGAAUUUAACAAAAAGUUUGAUCUUUGGUGCCCGAUCUAUAGUCUUGGGGCUUAUCAUAUUCUUGUAGUCAUGCUGAAAUGCCCAAUGCUGAAAUCAUACUUAAUAUAACGAUUUUCUGAAUCUUCUGUACUGCUUAAUCACUCUGAUAUAUCUGCGUUGUUUUAUAACUUUGGCUGUUCAAUUUGUUUUCUCAGAGACGCAAAGGCGAUCCUCUCCGUGUGUAUAUAGAUCUUGAGGCUAGUAGGAAACCAACAGGUUUUGAGGACAUUUUUAUUGGCUAUCAUGCAAAAGAUGAUGUUCAAGCAACAUAUGCUGGAAAAUCAUUCCACAUCAGCCGCAGUUACCAUGUAUCAACCCAUAAAAGAAAUGUAAGGUCGAAUUUCAUAAAGAUUGAGAACAUAAAGGCCUCAUUUUUUUUUUCUUCAAUUUGAGUUAUUUGGCUUAACUGCCACAGGUAAAAGGUUGUAUAUAAUGUGAUGUGGUGCUAUCCUCCAGUUACAUCCUCCUUAAUCGUUUAGGGCUCAUGCAUGACUUUGCAUUCUCAAGGCAUCAUUAUUUGAUUUGAAUAAACCCAUCAAUUUGUAUAUUUGAAUCAUUGUGCAUUAUCUUAAGUCAUGUUGACUCUAUGCUAUACUAGAAAGAUCUUCCAGCUUUGCAAUGUGAAAAUUUGACAUUUUUAUUCCCUGAAGAGCUUGUCAUUCCUACAUGUACCUCCAUUUUGCCAAUGAGAUUGCUUUGUUAAGAGCAAUGAGCAUCGUAGACCUAGGAGCUGUUCAAAUUCUCAAUUGACAAGUUACUUAUGUAGUGGUGUUUUAUUCAUCAGGAUAUCCUUGUUUACUGGUCUUCUUCAAGGUGCCUCGAACAACGCGACCAGCUCGCCAAAAGCUUCCUCUCCCUUGUCCCCCAUCAUUCAUUUGGCAAAUGCUUGAACAAUGUUGGCGGUCUGGAUAAAGCCCUAUCCUUCUAUCCCGAUUGCUCGGUCAGUGACAGCUCAGCACCGCAUUGGUGGGACCAUUUGCACUGCUCUAUGUCCAAUUAUAAGUUCGUCCUCGCGAUCGAGAACACCAGAACGGAGAGCUAUGUGACAGAAAAGCUAUUCUACGCCCUAGAGGCUGGGGCGGUGCCCAUCUACUUUGGUGCACCUAAUGUGUGGGAUUUUGUACCCCCGAACUCCAUUAUAGAUGGAUCCAAGUUUAAGUCUAUAGAGGAAUUGGCUUCUUAUGUAAAAGCCCUCGCAGAUGACCCAAUAGCUUAUGCGGAAUAUCAUGCUUGGAGGAGGUGCGGGGUGGUGGGGAACUAUGGGAGGACUCGUGCAGCUAGUCUUGAUACAGUGCCAUGCCGGUUGUGUGAGUUGGUUAGUAGGAAAGGUGGGAGGAAUGCCAGAUCAUUAUGAGGCUGAACUGCUUUUAAAAUUUUCUCGUUGAUAUUGGUUAUAUCAUAGGUUGACACAAAAGGAAAUUAUCGUUUUUUCCCAGUUCGUUACAUUUUUUUUUCUCUCUCUUUGCGACCUGAGUUAUGUUGUUAUUUGUAUUUACAUACUGCAAUACAAACCUGUGUGGGAUUGAGAAAUUAAGCUGUUAUUGUUGCAGUUGACUGACAACAACAGUGUAGUUGUAUACUUAUAUAUGAAUUGAUUGAUUUUCUAUUCAACAUACUACAUUGCCUCUUGCGAAAGGUUAAUAAUACAUUGUCUCUUGCGAAAGGUAAAUAAUACAGUGAUUCUGGUAGCUAAUUAUUAUUCAAAUACCCAUAAAGCAAUUCGUUAUAAUGUGAAAUGCUUAGUCGUUCUGACUAACAAGAGUUAUAUCAUGCAGUAAUAUGAUUUGACAUGUUUAAUUCUUCAGAAGGCAGUUCGAUCUUUUUUGCCUUAUAUUUGAUUGGUAUUAGAAGCUUCCUCAUCGCCUUCUGUAUGAAACUUCCACACUGUAGCCAUUAUACCCAGCGAAGAAGGCGAUGAAGGUCUCGCCUUUCCAUUUCUUUUUGUCUGCAUUAGAUACAAAUAGAUAUGGAGAGGAAAUAAGGAAACUCGCGAAACUUUGUUUUCUUUCUGAAUAUGAAUGAACUAAAUGUUGCUCAGAAUAAAUAUUGCCUUAGCUGCCGAGUUAAACUCUGAUUUGUUCUUACCUUCUUUAGUGCAUCUUUCCCUCUCCUCACACUUUGUAAGCUAUCUGGCUUGUUCAAAACAUACUCCUUCAAUUCCUUGUCAUCCAUGGCUUCUAUCAUCGUAGUCUGUGUUCCAAAUGCGAUCGCAUCAACAGCAGUGAGUUAUGAUACAUAAAACAACGAACAAACUAGUUAGUUAUAGUGUUUGAAACUGAUUGAAUUAACCAAUGUAAAAAAACAUGGCAUAUUGAGUAGAAAAUCAUGAGUUAGGUUGAAAAUCUGAGUUGUUACAGAUGGACUUAUUACAAAUGCUAGUAUAAAUUUAUCUUGAAGAAUCCUAAAAUAAAAGGACAAGAGCUUCGGCAUGUUUAGUAUUGUUUACAUUUUGCAUUUGUUGCUCUUCAAGAUCUUUGCAAUAAACAUCUAACCAUGUAGUUAUAUUAUUUUGGUGAUGGUCUUGCUAUGUGAUCUUUAGAAGGAUUAAAAAAAUGUGCAGGAAUAAAGAAUAUUAUUACUGUAAUUUUGUCUUUUUAGUGUGCUAGAAGGCCAGAAAGUGUAGUUUGGAAAUUAUCUUACAAUAGCCAAAUUAAAGAGUUUAUUUCUUGUUGUUUUCCACCAAAAAGUCUUACCAGAACCAAAGAUAGAAACAGAAAAGGACAACGCCAAAUUUGAAUCUCUUCUUGUUUAUGAAGCAGGAUGGUUGAUUGACAGAAAAUAGAUAUUGCAUAGAUAUUAUAUUCUCACAGUAAACGACAUCUGAUUUAUUACCCAAGAGACGAACUCAUCUACUUCACUUCUGACGGUGGCUUCCUCCGCGUCGGCAAUCUUCUUCUGCUCCUGCCAAGAAAGGACUUCUGCCUCAGCAAUCUUCUUCUUCUUCUUCUUCGUCUUACUCUUUAACUCUUCUUCGGACAUUCUCGUGACCAAGAUAAAGUAUGAAAAACCAAAGGCACAAAUUGUGCAUGAUAUAAAUAAGUAUAGCCGAGAUGUAACGUCUGUUGAUUAGAAAGAAAAAAGGGAUGACUUUUCCCUAUUUUGCUGGUUUUGGGCUGCUAAAAAAAUUAUUUAACUGUCGAAUAGAUUAGGCUGUGGAGAACAUGUGAUUGCUACUUAUUUCUGCUUUUUAGGCUGCAUGUUUAUUGUUGGCCUAGGAUUUUAUAUACUCUGUUUAAGAAAUGCCUUGUUUAUUUAUUAAUAAAAAAAUACUAUAUCCACUUAUUUUCUACAAAGCAUUAUUUUUUCAGACUUAGUAAUCAGGUUCAUGGCAACCACACCCUCUUGGUAAGCACCUUCAUAAGGUGUUGUAGAUUUUCAGAAUCAUAUAAAAUAUUUUAUAUACUCUUCCGCACCACAUUUUAUCAAACAAAAAAACACAUAAAAAUUUUGUAGAAUACUUUUUAUAUUUAUCACGUGAAAUACAUUUUGUUCUUAUUCUGAGUCGACAAUUUUCUUCUUCUUCUUCUUAUUCUUUUAACCCUUCUUCGAACAUCUCAUAACCAAGGUGAAGUAUGAAAAACCAAAGGCACAAAUUGUGCAUGAUAUAAAAAAGUAUAGUCAAUCUGUAACGUUUGUGAAGUAUGAAGUAGAAAGGAAUGAUUUUUUUUCUGUUAUGCUAAUUUUAGGCUACUAAAAAAGUUAUUUAACUGUCGCAUAGAUUAGGCUGUGGAGAACAUGUGAUUGCUACUUGUUUCUACUUUUUAGGCUACAAGUUUGGUGUUGGCUUAGGAUUAUAUAUAUAUACUUUGUAUAAGAAGAGCAUUGUUUAUUUAUUAAUUAAAAAUACUUCACCAACAUAUUUUUUUACAAAAUAUUAUUUUUACAGAUUUAGUAAUCAGGUUUAUGGUCCCUCUUGAUAAACACCUCCAUAAGGUGUUGCAGAUUUUCAAAAUCAUAUAAAAUAUUUUAUAUGCUCUUCCAAACAAGUUUUAUGUGAAAAAAGCACUUACAUACAAAUUUUGUAGAAUACCAUUUAUAUUUAUCACGUGAAAUGCAUUAGGAGCCACCUAGAAGCCGUCCUACAAUAUUUUUUUUUCUCCAAGAAAUUCCGCAAGCCUGUGACUUUUGCUACCGACUUUAGCAAGGUGAAGCACACUUAAACGAGCUAAAGUCUGCAAGACAUCUUGUAUCGGUGCCGACUUUGCCGGCCACUCUGCAAAUCAUCAUGCACCAUCACCGACUUCAGUGGGAGUGCCGCUAUCAACCUCUAUUGAUCUAAAAGGACGUAGGGUCUGUUUGGCUUAACUUUUAAAAAAAAUAAUUUCUGAAAAAAAUAAUUUUAGUUUAGAGAAGUGUGAGUUUAGAUAAGAAUGAUUUUUCUAAAGUGAUUUUGAAAAGCUAUUUGGCAAAAAAAUUUUUUGAUGUUUGCGUAAAUUAAUAUUUUUAUUAAAUUUUAUUUUAAAAUAAUUUAAAAUCUAAAUUUAAAUUUGAAUUAAAAUUACAAUUUUUAAAUUUUAAAAUUAUACAAAAUUUAAAAUUUAAUAUUUUAAUUUAAAAAAUUUAAAAUAUAAAAUUUAAAAAUUUAAAAUAAUUAUGAAAUUUAAAAUACAAAAUUUAAAAUUUAAAAAUAUUAAAUAUAAAUUUAAAAAUAUAAAUAGUUAAUGAAAUUUAAAAUAUAAAAUUUUAAUAUUUAAAAAUAUAAAUAUAAAUUUUAAAUUUUAAAAUUAUAAUUAUAAAUUUAAAAUUUAAAAAUUAAAAUUUAAAAUCUUAAAUUUAAAAUUAAAAUUGAAUUCAAAAGUACUUUUUAAAAGUAAGGCCAAACACAACCUAGGGAAAAGAGGCGACCAAUAACUACUCCCAAUCUAUAAAAACAGAACGGAUCAAAUGUCUCUGCGCCUAAACCCCUCCCGCGUAUUCACCCUCCAUCGCCUCCGAUUCCCGCCUCUUCGUCUCCUCCCACAAAAACCCCUCCAUUUACCCUCGAGGCGACACCUAGGGUUUCGAUCUCCUCCUAUCUACGUACGCGUCGCGGGCGCCGCUCGAUCCUCGGAGUCCCCUCGCUCUGUGAGAGGCGAUCUAGGGUUUCGUCCCCGAUCACUCUGCGGCUGCGGCCACGGCCUCGCUCGAUCCAUGGAGGCCGCUCACGCGGUGAGGGAUCGGAUCGAUCUCACGGAGAAGGAGGAGAAGAUCUUCGGGCGCCUGCUCGAUGUGGUUCGCCAUUUCAAGCUGGAGACCCAGCUGCGUGUCGCCGGAGGUUGGGUUCGAGAUAAGGUUCGGAUUCUUCACUCUUAAUCCUUUCCCUUUUGCAUUCGCUUUUUUUUUUCGCUUAUUUGAUUCUAGAAAUGAUCUUUUGAUGAUGCAAUUCGAUUACUCAAGAGUUUGGUUUGAUUAUUUCUUCCCCUACAGCUUUUGGGAAAAGAUUGUUAUGAUAUAGAUAUCGCCUUGGACAACAUGUUGGGCCGAGAUUUCUGUGAAAAAGUUAAUGAGUACCUCAAAUUUGUAGGCGAAGAACAACAAGGAAUUGGUGUUAUACAGUGGUAUGCCAUUUUUCUCCUGCUGUUCUUUUUGAUCUGAAUGGAUUAUGCACAUCACAAUGUAUCUGUUAUCGUGUACUUGCUAUAUGAAAUAUACAUAUUUUUCUAUAUUAAGGAAUCAAUAAACCUGAUACGUUUUGAAGUAAUAGGUGCCGAUUUAUAUUAUUCAUGCAGUGUUGCAGCCGGUGGCCAUGGCAUAUCAUUAUUAGCGUUUCAAAUUUAACUUGUCUUGAACAAACAUUUACGAUAACCCAUGGUGCAGAAUAAAAUGCCCGUGAAUAAUUUUCUUCUUUAUAUGCAUAUGAGCUUAAAAGUGAAUAUUUGGUCUCUUGACAUUUUCAAAUUAUGAUUUUUGAUGUGAUGCUUAUUUCUUUGCUGCAGCAACCCAGAUCAAUCUAAGCACUUGGAAACCGCUAGGAUGCGCAUCUGUGACACUUGGAUCGAUUUUGUGAACUUGAGAUCUGAAACCUAUGCUGAGAACAGUCGCAUCCCGACCAUGGUAUUCAAAAGUCUUAGAUUUUCUUUUUAUUUUAAUAUCUUAGAUUUCUUAAAUUCUGCAUUAUUUUAUGUGCCUUUUAUUAUGUUUCAUCUCUGUUAGGAUGUGUUCCAUUGUGCGGUAAAGCAUUUUAUCAAAACAGAAUUUUUUUAAUUGAUUUACUGUCUGUUUAGAAAUUCGGAACUGCUGAAGAAGAUGCAUAUCGAAGGGAUCUAACCAUCAACAGGUAAUAAACUGUAAGCUAAAAGGAAGUCCUGUUUCAAUGUUAUGCGGUGAUAUUUUUAAAAAGGGGGAAAAAAACUGUUGGCAUCAUGAGAAAAAUAAUAUGUUUAGACCAUGCUAGAAUGGUAAGAAUAUAUCUUACUAGAACUUCCUUCUUAUAGGUAGUACAUUUCAUGUUACUUUUAAGUGGAAAUAAGUCGUUUCUCCCAUUCAAAUUUCAAAGCAACCUUAAUUUUGGUUUCAGUUGAGUUUCAGUUUUGUUGUCUUAGUAGUUUUUUGUCUCUAUCCAGAUGUCAUUACAAAAAUUUCCAUGUUUCUUAGAAACAUGCAAUACAUAUGGAUAAUGACUAUUGAGGCGUUGCAGAGCUGCCUGAUACUUCUAACUCUUAACUAAACUUCCUAUUAAAAUGAUUCUCAACUGUCUCAUCAAGCUGUAACGUUCUGGUAAAAGAGGAUUAAGAUGACUGAUCUCCUAAGUUAUUUGAGGAUACACAGGCUCGAUCUACAUAGAAUCAGAUAAAGGCCAAAAUAAGUAUGUUGGCUAGCCGCCUUAAGUUUCUAUUUUAUUUUAUCUUUUUUAUGCUUGAUAGGAACAGUUCCAAUGUGCUUUUACUUUGUACUAAGGGAUGACUUUUCUCAUUUAUCCUUGAAAUUAUUGAUAUCCAUGUUCUUCGAGUCAUGCUUUCUUCUGACAGAAAGAUUCAGUAGUUUUCCCCUUCUAUACACUCAAAUUCAAGCAUUAUACACGAAGGCAAGCGGAAAUACGCUGCUAACAUUCUCUGCUCUCUAGUUCCCUCUUGCAAUAUAUUACAGUUCUAACUGUACUUAUUUUGUGUAAUCUUUAGCUACUAUUGCUAUUUAUGUAAUUCCGUUGCAACUGGUUCUGCUCAUGUUUUACCAUUGAAGUGUUCUCUUUUGACAGCCUUUUCUAUAAUAUCAACACUAAUUCAGUUGAAGAUGUAACUGGAAGAGGUUGGUUUUUCUCCUCUUCUUCUGUGUAAGUAGUCAAAUCUUGAUAACAUUUUUUUGGUCGGAGGUCCAGAAUUGCUCAUGACUUACUUAAUCUUAUUUAAUUCAGGCAUCCAAGAUCUGAAGUCCGGGCAUAUUGUUACUCCUUUGCCACCAAAAGCAACUUUUUUGGAUGAUCCCCUUAGGGUUCUUCGAGCAAUUCGAUUUGGUACUCUAGCAAGCAUCUUUAAAUUUUAAUUACUUUAUUAGAAGUAACUUUCAGCCAAUAUGCUAGCUACUGUUGUAAGUUAUUGGACUGUUCUGGUAACUUUUUUGAGUUUUUUUAGUCACUUCAAUCUGAAAAAGUUGAUGAUAAAUAAUAUACAUUAAUUAUUGGUAAGGAACAAACAUUUAGUUCAACGAUAUGCUUAAAAUAAAUAAUAUAUCUUUUGACUUUUCAUCAAAAACUUAAAUUAUCAUGAUACCUUUUUCUUUGUAAUAAUGAAUACGAUGUUGUGUUUACAACAUAUUAUUUUCCAAUUGAUGAUCUUAAUAAGAUGCCAUAUCUCAUAUGAUAUUUGAUAUUAUACAUUUGGUACAUGUCACAGUUCAACCCCUGUUAAAUUUUCAACCUCGAUCCUCUCUUUUCGUCUGUCCAAUAAGCUGUUUGGUUUUGUGUACAGUGAGUAGUUAUUGUCCAUCGUUAGGAUUGUCAGACUAUAAUUCUUUUGACAGCGGGAUGAUAGUGAGAUUGAAGUACUUAAAUUUGAUUAGUGCAAAAAGUUUUCACUGAUCUGAUUAUUCAUCCAUCUGUUUCUAAAUAAAAGACUUCAUGUGUAAAUAGACUUUGUAUAAGACUAACCUGUAUAUACGGUAAGUUCUGAUUCCACUCUUAAUGCUGUUAGGUGCUAGGUUUGAUUUUGAAUUGGCUGAAGAGUUGAAAGAAGCUGCUUCUGACGAGGAAGUAAAAACUGCACUUGCAAAUAAGAUCAGCAGAGAGCGGAUUGGACAUGAGGUAUUUUCCUUUUCUGUUUUCUCUUCCCAUAUCAAAUUUUCUGUAGCACAUAAUUUUUUCCCCAAUAGAUAUAGAUUUAGAGAUUUAGCUAUAUGUAUCUUUUUUCUUUUCUUUUGUUUUUUUAACUUUUUUCUCUUUUUUCGCUUAACUUGAUAGUGAAUGCUUCAUGGUAUUUAUGCACAGGUUGAUCUGAUGAUGUCUGACAAGCAACCUGCUAAAGCAAUGGCAUACAUUCAUGAUUUGAAAUUAUUUUAUGUUGUAUUUACUUUCCCAGAAAAUCCACAGCCUGCAGUUACCGAGCAAUGUGACAGGUUUUCCUUUAACUUCUGUUACUUUUUAAGGCAUGCAAUGAAUGAAUAUUUCACUUGAUAUCAUCAGAAGUGGUUGAAGAAAAUUCAUUAGGUUAGCUUAUAGAUAGCUAUCUGUUCUUCUCCUUGUGGAGAGCAUGAUCAAUGCAUUUUGAGAGCAUAGUUAACAUUCCUUCUUAUCUAAAAAUGUAUAGGCCUUGAAAUUUAAUAUUUGAUCUUUGUGAGAUUGCUCUGACAUGUUUCUUGUUCAUAUAGGCCUUGCAUUGAAAUGUUAGUGGUUGGAUACAUUUGAUGUAUGAGUUAAUAGCUUGUGCAAAAGGCUGAAAGCACAUGGUUUUCUCAAAGAGUUACAUAAUUAUUGCAUUUUUUCUUAAAGAGUUAUCACAUUAUGCAGGUAUUGUAUAUUACAUAUAAAUGCAGCAUGGACCCUUCUACAAUCUAUUGGCUACUCGAUAUUUAGUGUAAGUCAUUUAUUAGCUGCUGAUAUCCCAAAAUUUUAUUUUCAUUUUCUAGAGCACAUAUUGUAGAAACGACAUCAUUCUACAUUCUUAGAUACAAUCCAUGCAGUCUUAUUAUGAUUGCAUACUAUGCUUUCCUUAUACAUAUUUUUACUCGUUCUCAGGAUGAACAGCGCAGGCUUUACUUGUAUGCAUCUUUAUUUCUUCCUGUGAGAAGUACGAUAUACAUUGACAAAAAAUCAAAACAGGUAAUUUGUCCGUCUUGUUAUGUUAAUAUCAUUUUCCUUUUCAUAUAAGCGAAUUGUACUUAUAUUUUCUCUACUGAGAUGAAAAUGUUGUUCAUGUUUCAUGCUUCCCUCUUCAGCGUAAAAAUUAGUUACUCUCUAUACCUUUGAAAAAGGCUAUGACCUUUGUCUUAAAUAAUCCAAACAAUACUUCUGUUGGUAUUGUACAUAUAUCAACCAUUGAAUGAGCUGGCAAUACAUUUGGUUUGUGAUGAGAAGAGAAGAUAAGUGGGAGUAGGGCUAGAGGGUGAAUGUUUAACAAUAACAUAAGACAUGUUGUUUUGCGAUAACUUUGUUAUUUAUAGAUGGACUUCAGAGGUCACCUUUGUUUGUCCAUGCUUGCUUUGUAUUUGAACACUUCAAUUUUCCUUUGUUCCACUAAAGAGUUGGAAAAAUUAAAUAGAUCUAUUUGCUAUAGUGAUGAUGAUUGGUUAUCUAUACCAUUUUGAUUUUGGUAAUACCUGCUCGACCAGACCACAAUUAUAUUUUGUCCGUUAGUCAGACACUUGUUAUGAGACUUACGAGUCAUAAACUUUGCAGGUUCCUGUUGCGAGUUACAUCAUUCGAGAUUCUCUAAAACUGAAAGCUAGUGAUGCUGAAAUGGUAUGUCAACCCCUAAGAAAGCUUUUGUGAAGUUUGCCAAGGGGAGGCUUCUUCUAUGCUCUUUACCCAAUUUUACUCCGUUGGUUCAUCAUCAAUUCUAAUCUUUUUUUCCUUUCAUUUUGACGUGUCAUCUACUUGUAGGUAACAAACUUACACGCGGCCUGUGAGAAGUUUGUUGAUCUAAUCCCUUUUCUGGAGUCAAAUGAGGAUUCAGAAGAUCUUAGAGUAAAGCUAGAAGAUGAAUACCUCGAGAUACCACCAGCUUCGACCAAACGAGUUUUGGCAGGUUGAGGGCGGUUUUUUGUUGUUUAUUUGAAGUUUUUGUGUUCUAUCUUAUUGGCCACUCCCAUACGAAAAUUUCUGGUUCUGUUAAUAGAUUUCUUACUUUAAGAAUUUGGCAAUAUUAAAUGAUCUACACACUACAAGUAGGAAAAGAAUCUGCUACUGUUUCUCUAUGCUAAUUGAAUGCCAAUAUAACAUGAUAACGACUCACUCGCAUAGACUGAGCCUGCACACUUUCUUGGCUAGUCAAGCAGAAACAAAUAUCCAAAAGCUUACUACGCUGAUUUGUUUGGCUUUUGUGCACUGUCGUAUAUAUAUUAUUGUCUUUUUAUAUUGCAUGUAAUUAUUUUAUGAAGCAAAAUAGUAAUGUGUGCGCUUCUGUUGGCAAUUCUUGUCGGAUAUGUCUGUUACCAUCCAUUUUUCAUGCUAUGGUUAUAUUAGGCUUGAUUCAAAUACUCACAAUGUUGAGAAUGGACUGAACAGGGUUGCUGCUUCGUCAAAUAAAAGACUUUUGGCGCGUUGCUUUGUUAAUUUCCACUCUACUACACCCUAAGGCAAGUCAUACCUGUGAUACUCUCAACAGUCACACUGAACUGGACAGAAGAAGAGAAAUAUUUGGAAAAUUUGAGAGCGCAAUAACUCAACUUGGUAAUUAAUUUUUCUGAUACUUUUUAUCUAUAAUCAUUUGUGCUGAUUAUUAUUAUUAUUUUUGUAAUUAUUUGUGCUGAGUUGCCAUUUGUAGAUGAUAGUUUGUGGGAAACUAUUCGUUGUUUCUUUCUUUGCAUGUUCAGGGAGUUGAUUCCUUUUAUUUCUUUUGCUUCCUCUUUAAAUAAGUCACUAUUGUGUUCGCUCGCUACCAAUUAUUUCUUUGGUUGAUUUGUUUAGAUCUCGACCACGUGUGGAAAAUGAAGUUAUUGCUUGACGGGAAGGCAAUGAUGGGAGUUCUACAGCUUAAAUCGGGAGGGCCAUCAAUUGGGAAAUGGGUAAAACAAGUUACUGUUAUGUUAGAAGCUGAUAUGAGCUUUUCUAUCUGCUUACAAUUAUUAAUGCUUGUUUGCAGCAACGAAGGCUGCUAAAGUGGCAGCUUGCCCAUCCAAAUGGAACAACGGAAGAGUGCAUUGAUUGGAUAAAGCAAUCUCAAGCGAAACGCCAGAAAAUAGAUUGUUCCGCUUGAACAUGUUCCCCUUUGCAGCUUGUCUUCUGCCUACUUCUAACUUGUCUUCGCCCUAAUUUAUCCAAUCAAAAUCGCCAGCAAUCUUGUGGAGUAUUUACAAAAGCAUGACUUGAUUUGCGCAUCAACGAGUGGCAUGAAGCAACAGUAUUUUUGCUAGAGAGCUAAGUUUGCAGCUAGGAGAUUGCAACCAUCAUCCUCAUCUUGCGUGUUUUUUUUGUUUUUUUGUUUUUUUUUGUGGGGUGGAUUGGGGGAGAGGGGAAGGGGGAGUUUUGACAAACUUAUAUUAGUAUAUGAUCGUUCUUUUGUAAUACCUAUGGUUUCUAACGGAGUUUGUAGUUGAAUUCAGAAAUUGCGCAGGCUCUUUUUUUUCCUCUUAUUUUUUCUGAUAUGAAAAUUAAAUUGGGCCAGUGUAACUUGUAAUACCUAUGGUUUCUAACGGAGUUUGUAGUUGAAUUCAGAAAUUGCGCAGGCUCUUUUUUUUUCUCUUAUUUUUUCUGAUAUGAAAAUUAAAUUGGGCCAGUGUAACUUUAGAUACAAAUCGUUCUCUCUAGACACAUAAAUCACAUUGACGACAUUAUAAUACCUCAACAAGGAAUUUAUCUAGAUUAUGAAUUAUUUUGAACUAGCACAUGACUAUGUGGACGAUAAUUUAUAUGCUCUAAUAAGUGAUAAUACAGCAACCUGCAAAAUGAUAUGGUAGAUCAAAUUCUAGCACCAAGAGCAAAUUUGAAAGAGAACAAAAAGCAGCAGGACGAGAAAGAAGCACAAAAAGAGAAUUACAGCACCAGCCAAAAAGAGAAUAGAGGACUAUGUGGCAAAUACUUAAAUGCUAACCCAUCCAUAUGGUAUAAGAUUUUCCGUCAACAAAUUAAGAGAGUAUACAAGUUCAACUAGCACAUGACAACAUGGCUUGCUAGGAAAAGGAGGAAGAUCAACAAUUCAAAGAAGUUCAAUGAACUUGAACGGAUACAAACGCGAAAAACCUCUACAUGUACAUAUCCACAAUGUCAGACGCAUAUAUAUCUACAUAUAUAUAAGUAGAAGGAAACAAACAUCAAGCAUUUAUUCUGCAUUUAUUUAUUUGUAAAAAAUUAUGGACUUUGCAUUUUCAUCUGGAGAAGUUGUUAUCUGUGAAAGUUCUGUAAUUUUCAUGGCUUAAUAGUUCUGUGUUCCCACUUUCCAGUAGCUAGGAUCAAUGUCAUUUAAGAUCUUUAGUGUUCUUUUGAACUUCGAUAAGAUUUACCAAUAGUGGGACAAGGGGAUUGCCCGGUGAAUCAAGCUGCAAAAGCCAACCUUUUUACCUAGGAACAUUUAGAAUUAGAUUUUAAAUAUAUGAUGCUACUAUGUUUCAACAAACAACUGCAGUAUACAUUUGAUGAACGCAUAAAUGAUCAAAUUUUGGACAGCACUAAAAAAGAAAAGAAAAAGAAAAAACUGAUACAAAUAGAUAUAUAUCUUUGAUGAAGUAACUUCAAUCUGAGAAAGAAGAGGUAAUGUGAAAUUCGAACUAGUGUUGCGAUCGAUCAAUCAAUCAAUCUGGUUUUUGAUUUGGAGCACAAGCAAGUAGAAUGCAGCGAAAGCCUGCCUACCUGUGAUUUUAGAUCCGAGUGCAGGAAGGAUCGAAGUCAUCGGGAGCGACUCUGGCGAUCCAACUGCUGAGGGUCUUCUUGAUCUCGCCGUGAUUGACGUAGGCGAGCUCGUACAUGCUGCAGAGGUUGACGAUGAGCGUCUCGUUCACGGCCGCCGUGGGGACGCUCUCGAGCGCGCCCUCGAGCACCUUGAUGGAAUCGGAUAGAUCGCGCGAGUACAUGAGGCAGAGCGCCUUGUUGUUCACCGCCACCACGUCGGCGGGGUCCCUCUCGAUGCACGCCUCGUACUCCCUCACCGCCGAGGCGAAGUCCUUGGCGACCACGAACCCUAGCGCCCUGUUCCUCCCCAGGAGGUUCUCGAACCCCGGAUCGCCCCGCCGCGCGUCCCGCAUCUCCUCCACGCGCGCGAAGGAGGCGCGGGCGCCGUCGAGGUCGCCGAUCUGGAGCUGGACGUAGCCGAGGCGGGAGAGGAGCGCCGGAUCGGCGGGGUCCCGCUCGAGGAGGCCGCGGAUGAGCGCGAGGGCGACGUCGAACUCGCGGUGGGUGAAGUGGUUGGCGCAGAGCGCGGCCAUGACCUGCGCCUCGCGGCGGCGCCACUGGUCGGCGGAUCCGGCGCUCCGGUGGGGGAUCCUGGAGCGGACGAGGUCGAGGAGGGAGUAGAGGCGGUCGAGGGUUUGGGGGCGGUCGCCGAGGCGCUGGGGGAGCUCGGCGUGGAGGAGGCGGAGGGCGAAGGGGACGAAGGAGCCGGAUCGGGAAGGGUAGUGGUCGGGGUAGGAUUCGAAGCGGAAGCGGGGGGAGUCGAAGGGGUCGGAGGAGUCGGGGGAGGAGAGGAGGGGGUCGAGGGCGGCGGCGGCGUCGGAGAAGCGGCGGAGCUUGAAGAGGGAGAGGGCGGUGAGGGAGGAGAGGAGGAGGCGAUGGUGGGGGAGGAGCGAGGGGAGGGAGCGGGAGCGGGAGAGACGGUCGGAGAGAGAGCGCCAUUGGCCGCGGGAGGCGAGGUCGACGAGCGCGUCCAGGUCGGGGAGGAGCUCCGACGACGAGAGCGGCUCCCCGGUGGCCGGAGACGCGGUCGGCGUCGCGGUGGCAGCGCCCUCGGGAUCCAUCGCGUUGGGGAGUUACAGGUGAUCGAAAGGAGAGGCGGUUUUUCGAGAGUAAAUGGGUGCUCGUAAUGGGCCGACAGAAGGGAGAGGGCACUUGUACUGGGCCUUUACUUUUGUUUAUAAAUGGGCCUUGUUGGGCAUACCAGUCUUGGUCCACUGAGCCAUUCGUGCAAUCCGUGCAUACCAGUCUAGGUACCGAUAAGACAAUUUGGUCGAAACAAUUUUUGUUUUUAAAAACUGCGGUCUUGUAAACUUUCAUGAAGUCGGGUGACAGUGGCGUUUCAUUCUUCUUUUAGCCGGCCCAGACUCGGCCGGCCUGAGAAAAUAAAUCUUUCAGAUCCGAAUCUAUCCGAAUUGACAACGUGACUCAAAAAAACAAAUUUCUGGAAGGCGCGCAAACAGAGGGUUCCCAGCUUCUAUAGUUUGGGCCUCUAAUUCCCAGGCCCGGUUCAACAUUGUGAGUUAGGAUGGAUCUAACCCGUCCUGCAAAAAAAUCAAUCGGGUCGGGUGAUUUUGCUCAGGUCUCUCCAUGUAUUAAUUCUUCUUCGGCAUCAGCAGAAUUUGCAAUGGCUGUUAAUAAUAAAAAGCUAUAAAGCGGCAACUGUUUGAUGGCAAAGCUUGGAGGGAGUCUACGGAUUUUAGAAAUUCUUCUCAGACCAAAGUAUGACUAAUGGCAUCUAUAUUCUUCACAAAAAAAAAAAAAAAAAAAAAAAAAAAAAAAAAACAAAUGCAAUUUUAUAAUUCUCUUUGGCAUGAACAAAAUAAAUGGCCAAAUAAAAUUACUAUGAGCUCAACGUCAAUGACGUUCGCAUUUGAAUUUCAUAAAAAAAAACAAAGUUCCUGUUACAAUGAGAACAAGAAAAAUAAAAUAAACCAACUGCUUUUUCACGCCAACCUUAUUUCCUUGUAAUUCACCCAAUGAUAUAAUAUAUAUCGUAUUUUACAGACAAUAUAUUCCUACAAAGAUGACACCAGCUAAACUAAACAAACCUUCCCAAUUUGGGAAGGAAAUGGCUCAAAUAAUGGUAUGAGAAUACGCACUACCUUUCGAUCUGGUGGUGCUUCACACCCAAAUCAAAAUGAGGCUGACCUUUUCAGUACAGGCUUCAUCGCCUUGUCCUCUUCAAGGGAGACCAUUCCCAGAUUAGAAGGAUCUUCGAGCAUCAUCUUGGCCACCAAAUAGCCCGCGAUAGACCAAGUUUGGAACUUCCGUGCUUGUUUGCCGAUGUACCGACCUAGCUUCCCGUCGUAGUACUCCGGCCAACUGUCCUUUAAAAGACGAGUUUCAGCUACUUCAAUAGCUCGUCUGGCUAUUUGUACACGGCCUGUCUUGAUACAUGCUGCAGUGAGCAGCCAUAGAAGAACUGCAGAGAGAAGUGAGGAGAUGGGGAGUGUAAUUGUGGCGUUAGAGUUAGUAACAAGUCAAAACAUCAUGUAGAAAUAGGAAGUAAUGAAGUCAUUAGGGCAUCCAAUGAAAGGUCUUGCUUCCAAAGAUUUCAUAAAUUUAUUAUAUUAGCUUCCCACAUAAAAUGCAGAUAGGAGUUCAGAGAAACGGAGAAAAUACUAUAAGCAACUUAUGAUUUUGGCAAUGCAAAUGCGUCAGACCUAAUCGCUAUUGACAAUAGCAGACCUGACAAGGUUUAAUGUAUCCGUUCUAUCAACGAUAGAAGUCAGCCUAUUCGUAUCAAUGUCCUUACUGAAAAGAGAAUACACAGCAAUACUAAUUUGAAGCUCUUUGAAGGUGGAAAUUGUGGUCAGUCGACUGAGUGCCAUCCAAGUACUGCAGUAAUGUUGAAUCCAUAUGCUACAUUGAGGCAAUUUCCUCAUAAAUGAGUGCAGCAUAGUAAGUGGAUUUACACCAAUUUCUAGAGGAUUAGUGUGAAGUAGAUGGAUUGCAUAAAGAAUAUUUCAGUUCCUUUAUUAAAGCCAUGUCAAUGCAAGUUACAAGAAACCAGAAAAUGCUGGGAGAAGAGAUAGAUGAUUAUUUGACAGAAUAGGGAUGAUUGUUCUGUGUAAAAUCAUGGUAUGUUUGAGCGUCUGCAGGAAAGAUAGAUACUAUUCUGCAACUUGAAUUUCAUGGCUUUGUUGCUAAGUAUUUUCUCAACGCCAAUUUUGAAAACAAAUUUGCUACUGGAAAAAUGAAAACACUUCAUUUUUUUCUGGUUUUUUUUAACCAUAGAAUGUAAAGUUGCGGUUACCAGUGGAGAGUGUAUGAUAAAAUUCAACAAGAAAACCUAUCGGAGUGGAUAUACUAACCUGGCCAAGAUCCUCCAUUAUGGUAACUCCAUCUGGUAUUUUUAGGGUCACAGCCUGUCACAAUGCGCCACUCGUGGCUCUCAAUAGCAGGAUAACAAAUCUUCAAAGGCAUCUCCCCGACUAGCUCCUCCCACCUUUCUUCAAUCAGAUCCAUUAUAGCCAUAGAUUGCUCCGGGGUAGCAAGAGAUGAUAGUAUGGCUAUACAAUUACCAAGAGCAAACCACCGGAAAUCCAUCCGUGCUGGACUAACAUUUCCAAUAAAGUAACCACCACGGGAGGGCAUAAAAUCGAAUAUCCAAUCUGGUAUAGAGUCGGGAAUAACAUUAAAUUUAUUGACUGCAGUGUGAGAAUAUUCCUCUGUUUUGUAGCGGUAUAUCACAUUUAGCUGCUGGAAAUCGAUCCAGAAGUAACUUCUCAUGUGGUAACUUAAGGCAUGCAAGCGUUGCACUAUUCGCUCUAUAAACUCCUUCCCUUCAUUAUCAGGUUUAAGCAUUGAUAAAGCACAUCUCAGUGCCAUGAAGAAGAGGGCUUGGAUUUCAAUCGGAUAGCCGUAAACACCCUGCGGAAAGCGUAGCAAGCAUGAAAGAGUUAAAUAUGGAUUGAUAGUUUCAAUCAUAUAAAAGGACGUAAGGAAAUCAUCAGCUCUAAUGUUUUUUUUUUUUUUUGAAUUUAAGGAUGUACAGAGUGGUUCCCUACACCCAAACUUUAGUAACACAACUCUAAUGAUAUUAACAAGAGUAAACAAUUUGAUUAUUAAAACCGAGAACUGCACUAUAGCAGAUGUUAUCAUUCGAUAAGCAAUGAGUAAUGAAGAUGUUUUCCGCAGAAAGUAAAGUUUUGAGCAAAUAAAUAACGAACCCAUCCAGACACCAUGUGGACCCCAUAACCUAUAUAUCUAACCAAAAGAUGCCAAAGACGAGAUCAAUUGGAAUAAGAGUAAAUUUGGAAUAUGGAGAACUAAUGUAAAACUUCUAGUUAUUAAGCAUAUAGACACAAAAGAAGUUUUGCUUAUAGUAAGUUACAAAUAAAUCUGGUUUCUCCUAUGAUACUAAAAAUCAGAUCUGAAUUCACUAGUAAAAUAGUCAAACCACAAAAGUUAGCAAAUUAUAUUAAAAAGGAAAAUGUAACAAAUCAGAAAAUGUAUAACAAAAACGACUGUAGCAAAGUCGAAACAUACAAAUCUAAAAGCAAAAGUGAAGCAAGAUAAUGAUUCACGUACCAUACGACGGUCUAUCAUUGAGCAACCAUCUGCGCAGAGCAAAGUUGGGAAAGUGUCAAACCCCUCAGCUAAACAAAGAGCUAAUAUUAACUUCAUCCCCUUUUGGCACUCAGGUGUUUCCGCCAGGGACACAUCUCCCGUGGAUCUUGUAUAGGCGCGAAGAAGAAUAAUCCACCAAAAUCCAGAGUCCACUGGUGCAACCCUUCCAAUUGCACUCUCCCCGAAAUCCGCGACUAUUGUAUCGACCUGCCUAACAGGAUUAUGCUUAACCUUGAAGCUCGCAGGCAUGGCUCCUUCCCCGAGCUUGAAACGAUCUAUUUUCUUUUCCGAGCCUUGGAGCUGGACAGUUUUCAUGAGAAAAUUCUUAACUAUCUCAGGUUCACCAUUCAUUAGAAAGGCCAAGGCGCUCGGCACAAAAUCCCGCACAAACACCUGUAAAUUUAGAAGGAAAAUAUUGGAAAAAGUACAAUCAUUUCAUUUGAACAACUUUAACAAUCAAAGAUUUUGAAUCAGUUUUCUCAAGCAAGCACCAAGCAUAUCAAUCCAGCACUCUAAAACAAAAAGAAGCAUCAAGAGCUUACAGGUUUAUAAGUUUCCAUCCAUAAAAUUUUUUCCACACUAUUAGAUAACCGCAAGCACGCACGUAAUGAAGGACGCUUAGAAUGCUAUUAAAACAUCUAUACCUAUACGUAUACUUGAAAUCUCAUGCCUAAAUCCUAUAUGAUGCACCCCCUUAAUUUGAGGGAGGUGGGACCCUAAGCUUAUUUUUUUUCUUCUCUAAAAAACUGCAUUUAGUCUUUUUUUUUUUCUAAUGACUCUUCACUUUCCGUUGUAUUUACUGACAUUUACUUUCUUUCUUUUUUUUCAGCAUCCCUUGGCCUACCGUCCAUAAGACGUGAGAUCGGAGAGAUGUUGAAAUAAUUUACUUCUUAUAUAAAAUUCACUACCCACCUCUCCAUCUUCACCCAAGCUCAUCACUUUAGAGAAUUCUUCGUAAUUAAUUAAUUUCAAUGGACGCACUAGCUACCUAUCAUCUUUCUUCUUUACCAAAAUUUUUUAUUUAAUGAUUAAUUGAGGAAUUUGAUGAUGUUUACUCUUUCUCAUUAAAUCAGUAUAUAUAAAUAUAUAUAUAUAUAUAUUGUUGGUUUUAUAUUAUAUAUAUGAAAGAUGUAUAAUAUUUAUAGUUAAAUUUGUAUUGUAUAGUUAUACGAAGAAGGUGCUUCCCCCUCUUCUAAUGGCCCCCCGAGGAAGAGAAAUAUCGGUUAGGAUAUGGAGUUGCCGGAAAGGAAUUGAAGGCGCACGAAAUCGUCGGCAUCGGCAGAGGAUGCAUAGACGAGGGUGGGAGAGGGUCCGACAUCUAUGUAAUAAUUUUUCUUCUUUUAUAGUUCUUUCUAUCUUUCGUUAUUUUUUAUUGAAGUUUAAUUCCAUUCUAAAAGUUUUAAGGUAUUUUUCAUAUUAUUAAAUUUAAUCAAAUAUGAUUAUAUUCUACUUUUUCUUUUUUAUAUUCUACAUUUAUUUAUUUAACCUAUAAAUUUUUACUAAAAAACUUUUAUCCGCCGGAUCGCGCGGGUUGCUAUACUAGUUGAACCAUCAAUUUUGAUAAAUAAACACACAUUAAACAAACUCAAAUCAAGAUAAAAGCAUCGUCCAGGACACGACAUUAAAUGAUCCCAACAACCAUUUGCAUAAAUUAUAAAGAUCUAUUUAUUAACACGCGGGUGGCACUACUAUGGAUAUACCUGAUCGUAAUUAAGAACCUCCUCGGAUGCGUGAUCGUAAGCGGCGAUCGUCCCCAUCGGUUGUCCCCGGAAGUACACUAGAGAUCUCCGGAGGGCCUCCCACGCCUCUGCCACCAUGGGAUGGGGCUCGACCGAGUCCCGAGAGAUCGGCGUGUCCAACCCCGAUCGGAACCCUCCGGGGGAGUACAAGUUCUCGUAGCUGUCGACGGGCCUGAUGUUCCCAGCGAUCGAGAGCUCGCUCAUCGACCGCUCGUCGAACGACCUCUGCCUCUCGAUGUUGAGCCUCGGCUUGUCGAGAAGUCGCGAGAGAUCGAAGUCGUCGCCGUCUGAGAUGGAGGCGUGCGACGCGAUCUUCGUCAUUCCUCCAGUCUCGCGGCUCCCCUCCAUCCCCAGAGCUGCUUCCGGAAGCGCUUCUGAUGAUCCGGAAAAAGCGUAAGAUCUGGAUCAAAAGAUCAAAUCAAACUCGAAUCAAAUCGAGAAAAAAUCAUACUGGAAACGAGAUUUACGCCACGAAUUCCACACAGAGAGCUACAUUUCAUAAUCGAAUCAGCUAGAUCCAGCGAAAGAACGAAAGAACAUCCAGAUGUCCGCUAAAUCCAGCUAGAGAACAAAGGAUUAAGCCUCAGAUACCUCUGUUUCUAGUUAAACUGCUUCAAAAACGAUCGGAAACGCUAAAAAAUCGCAAAAUGGCCAAAAAACCAGAAAAAUUGAGAAGGACAACGAACCUCGGAGGUCGAAGGUAGAGUAAGAGGAGCUCCUCCGAAGAACUCUCCGGCGCGGAUCGCAAGAGGCUGGGAGAGAUCGAAGAGAAGUAGGAAGGGGGAGAGGGGCGCGAGGUUAGAGGAGGAGGAGAGGAGGAGAGGAGAAAAAAAGAGCAUGGUAGCGGAGGGAGGGGUAUUUAUAGAGGGGGUGAGGUGCGCGAUGGAGGGAGAAGCGAAAUAGAGAGGGAGGGAGAGAGAGAGAGAGAGAGAGAGAGAGAGAGAGACGGAAAUGGUCGUCGCCUCUCGCUCUAUCCGUUCUCUACCCCCUCUCCCCCGGCCCUGCUUUACCGUGUUGCAGAAGCGACCGGCUAUAGCCGGUAACCGCACGUGGGGGAACUGGGAAGAGCGGUGGGGAGGGUGAAGGCAACUUGCUGACGUGGACUUGGGACAAGGUCCGAAUCGUUUAUAACUGGCUCGUUAGCCGUUGAGUCGCCGCCCUAUUUGUCGGUUUAUGACCCUGUAUUUUGCACUUGUUAUGUUAAUUAAGUAAAUUAAUUAAGCAGAAAGGUUUUAAUAAACCUCUUUUUUUUUUCUUUUUUCUUUUUUUUGCUAAGAGGUUUUAAUAAACCUAAGAAGCUUAGGUAUCUUAAUCUUGAUUAGUUAAUGAUGAUUUUUAUAAGAUACACCUGGUGCGUGCACACAAGACAAACUAAAAUUUGAAACUCCCAAACCAUUUUAAUUACACUGGCCUAUAUUAUAUUUUUUAAAAUCCGUCUCGAAUCCGACCCUUUUACAUCUCUAAUAUGGAUGAAAAAAAAAUAAAAAAAACAAUAAAAAAUAAAGAGCGAUUUAAUAAUAUAGUAUUGGUAAAAUUACUAAAUUACUCACGUAUUAAAAUAAUAAAAUAUCUCUCUUUGGAUUAUCCGGUAACAAAUAUCUCUUUUAAAAUUAUAUGCUAUUUCAAGUCAUAAUUUAAAAAAAAAUAAAUUUGAGCCGUUGAAUAAAAUAAAUAAAUGAUAUUAAAAAAUAACAAAUAUAAAAGCACUACCGGUAAGCUAAUAGUUUGAUUAAAAAAUUACUAAUUGAAAUAACAUAAUGACUCGAUAAUUUUUUUUUAAAAAAAGUAAAAAUACUUGCCUAUGAUCUGUAUUUUAUUUAGUAUCUUCUAUAAAAUAUAUAAAAGUCAAUUUGAGAUUCUUAUUUGGGUGGGAAUAUUUCUGUAGGUAUUUUUUUUAACGGGAUAUACCUUAGGAUCUUCUGGUGAUAAUUAGCAAAAAAAAAAAUUUAUCUUAUUAUAUAUUAUUAAAUAAAUAUGUACUAAUUUUUUAAAAAAAUUGUGAGGGAGACAUAUAAAAUUGAUAUUUUUAAGUGCUUAUCAUGAUGAUCAAUGCACGAGUAACAAUUAAAAAAUUUAUAUCGGGACGGAAAUCGAUAGGCAAUAACAAUAAGCACAAUUGCACAUAAAGUAUUACAAAGCAUGUUUUGAAUAGUCAACGCUUGACCAUUACUUUAAACUCUGUUAAGAAUAAUAACCAUAUAUUAAUUUUUAAUAAUGGUUUGUAUAUAAGGAGUGAGAAUAUUUUUGCCGAUCAGAUUAUUUUUGAUUUAAACUCAUGAACAAAUUAAACAUUAACUUUUACAAUAUUUUGUUCAAAUUCAAAAAAAAAUCUCUUAUUGAUUUUGAAAUGGACAACAUAAGUUUUACUAUUGUCAGAAUAGUCCAGUAUCCAUUUUGUAGAACAGAGUCUUUGUUUUUUUACAUCCUUUUAGACGAGAGAAAUUUCAAAUUGAUGAUCGGAACUGUUAAAGUUGAUUUAAAUUAUUUAUAAUGUCUAGAAACUAAAUUUUAUAAAUAUAAAAUUCGUUACCAAAUUUAUUAAAGAGUCGAAAAAUAAACAGUAAAAAAUAAAUAAACUUGUAAAAAUAAAUCUUAGACUUUCUCAAUUUAUGAUUGUAGUUCUCAAACGUUAUCUAAAUAAAAUAAAAAAAAAUUAUCAAAAAUUCAAACUGUUUAGAUUGCUCUUCAUUAUUAAACAAGCAAAUGACUCUUUAAUAAAUUUGGUAACGAUUUCAGUCAUCGAUUUGAAAUCGCUAUUAUCUAGAAUGACUUAAAAGAGAAUAAAAGUUUCCAUCAUCCUAAAAGAAUAAUUGUUGAAUUUUAUAUAUAUAUAUAUAUAUAUAUAUAUAUAUAUAUAUUCGAAUUAUGGUAAGAUAUUUUUUUUUUGAGAAAUAGAUAGCAAGCUAUCUGUUUAAUUCAUUAAGCAAAAUAAAUUAGGCGUAUAUGAUGGAAGCAGCUAGGGCCUCCUAACCGAGCCGGCAAACCUAGGAAAAAUAAAAAAAACCAAGAACGACAAGUCCGUAAAAGGGAAAAAGUAAAAGAAAGCAAACGAAGGAAAACUAAAUAAACAUGGGUAAAUAAUGAAGGAAUUUAACCGAGAAUUAUGGUAAGAUUUAGUACGACAACAUCACUUUCCGCAGAUUUUCAAUUACUUGUUUUCCGUUGAAUCCCUAAAAAGCACCUUCCCAAGCUUUAAACGGGGUGGGAACUUAUAAAUGAGGAAUUGAAUUAUAUUUAUUUUUAUUAAUUAAGCAACCAAUAAGGCUAAAAGGUGACAUCAAAGGAAAGGUUUCAAGUGAUUUUUAAUUGAAAGAGGAACGUGGGAUAAUAGUUGCAUGCUCAAUCAAUUAUUAAAUCGUAAAUUUCAGAAAAAAUAAGGCCUAAUCUUAAUCAUUCUCCUUUAUCAUGUGCAUUUUAUUUUAUUCCAAAAAAGUUUCCCCUCAUUAACAUUCACCUAAUAUAUUUUGUAACGGGGCAAUAUUAAUUCCUCUUUUGUGUACUAUCUCAUUCUCUAUUUCUAUUGUUUCUCUUUUUCUACUUUUGUUAUUUUCUUCCUGCUACCUAUUUAUCCUUACCCACUAUUGAUUAUAUUUUUUUUUUCCUUUUUGGUUGAUGUUAAAAAUAGAAUUACUUUUAUAUAUACUAUUCCAUCAAGUAGUUGUACCUUCUUAGGUUACAAAUUAUUUUAUUAUUCAACAGGUAUCUCUUAAAAUAAUUUAAAAACUAUGCUUAAAUAAAAUAAUUUCCAAGCAGAACUUGUUUUCUAAAUAAUCUUGGAUUAUUAAUUAAUCCUUUGACUUUAAAAUUGAGGAUUCAGGUACUAAGCCAUAAACAACUCCCAACUAAAAGGACUCGAAGCUAUUUAGGCUAAGCAUCAAAUUAUUAGCCAACUAAUUCUAACCCUCCCGCGAAUUAUUAUAUCCCGUCUUAAAUGCAUAUAACUCAGUUGCAAAUAACUACAAAUUUUCAAAUGCACACGAAUUUCAAAGCAGCAAAUUAUCGCGGAAAUGCUCAGAACUUUUCCCCGAAUUAUCCAGUCUCCAAAAUCACAUAACUUCGUUGGAAUAGCGACAAUUUCCUUGGAUAUUCAAUCCCCCCGAAUAAGCACGAAUCUCAACGCCCCCGAAGCCCUUUUCCGCGAAACCGUAGGAUCUAAUCAAGCGCGUUGCUCCCACCCACCGCCCGUUUCCCAACGACGUGGAGCACGAGAAGCACGUGCGCUCGUCGGCUACGAAACGAGUCCUCGGGCGCCAACUCAUUGGGCCCACGUGGCUUCUUCUGAUUGGUCCCAGAACCUCACGCCACGUCGGAUAUGGUGUUAUGCCUUAUCUAAAAAUCAACGGUCCAGUUGUAACGUUGCUGUCGCUUCACCGUUCAUAUUCACCGUCCGAUCACUAGGUUGGUAGCCGUUGGACCCAUCGAAGGGCCCCAUUUUAGCGGAGUGGGCCCCACCUUGCAAAUGCUUCCCAGUUGCCCAAGCUGGGUUUGACCUCUGACCACGCUCGCCGGUCGUAUUCUUACCUCCUUCUUCUUCUUCUUUUUUUCCUUAAUUUUUUAUGUUGUUUAUAUUAUAUUUUUAAGUUAAAAUUUAAAAAUAGCGUAAAGAAGCAUAGAGAACUUUAUUUAUACUUUAAAAAAUAUGUAGUAAUUCUUAAACCCACUGAUUAAAAAACUUAAAUCUAUUUAAAUUUUUAAUAAUAAAAAAUUAUACAAAUAAUAAAAAGUAUUCAUUUUUUAUGAAUAGAAUGUAAGAUUUGCAUUUAUGGCAAUGGCAUACAGAUAAUAUUGCUUAAAGUUAUAUAUCUAUUGUGAUUCUAAAUUAGUUAUAUUAAUCAUGAAAUUAUGGUGAUGGUAAAAUAAAAUGCCUAAUACUGUGAGCUUCAACGAGAAAUAUAUUUGGUUGAUCACAUGACAUUGGCAUGCUAAUAAUAGUAAAUAUAUUUGUCCACAGAUGAUUCAUUAAAACUAGGGCUUUUUUUAAUUUAGUCCUCCUACCAAAUUUAUAUUUGUACAUGUGGCAAUUUUAUUGCCACACGGUCUCAAAUUUGCAUUUUUUGUGCCACAAAGAUUCUUAUAUAAAAAAAUUUAAAAAAUAAGUUGGAUGAAAUGAAAUCAGCCUCAUUAAAUAUGGUGAAUGAAUCACAAUAUUCAAUUUUAGUCUAUUUUUUAAAACUUACAGACAAAAAAAUAAAAAAAGAACACGAUGACUUAACUAUCGUGUUUAAACAUGGCGAUUUAAAUUACCGUGUUCAAUUUAAAAUGCUACAUAGGUACUCACGUGGCAAGAAAAAGUCUAUUUAUAUAAAUAUAAAUUUAUUAAAAUUAUUUUAAAAAGAAUUGAAGGCACUAAAUGAAAAAAAAAAGUCCUCAAAGCUAAUUAAUUAUGCAUGUAGCAAAUUUCAAAUUGCUAACCUCUUGGUGAUUGCAUGUAUUUUUUGUUUUUCCUUUGAGGUCUGUUUUAUCUCGUCCUUUUAGCUUAGUUAAUUAUUCUCAAUGAAUAAAAUGGAUAGCGUGAAACUUAUUUUUCAAAAAAAAAACUCCAAGAUUCAUACGACAUUUAUGUCUUUGUCCUGCAAUUUUGCUCUGUUAUUUAUUUAUUUUUUUAACAAAAUAAACGACCAACAAAAAAUAAGAAAAAAAAACGGUGGGGCCCAGUAGGGCUUAGGUGUUUCUUGGGAACAAACACACACUAGAGCAAGCCGUCAACGUUGGCGCGUACCAACCAACUUGGGGUCCUUGGUGGAAUUUUUCCCUUGUGGGGCCCAGGAAGUCACGUGCUGGAGAUCCGGGGCUCGUAGCCACAUGCAGGAAAAAUUCUAGAAUGCAACGGGUAUAUUAGUGACGUGGCGUAACAAACCAAUCAAAUUAAUCCUUUUAAGAAUAUAUGUCCCAUCAUGAUUGUAAAAAAGUAUUUUUAUUGUACUUUUGUUUGAAAAGAAGGAAUGUGAUUGGCUUGUUAUUGAUGACGUGGUGCAAGUGUGACAGUGUAGAAUUCCUCCACAUGCAGAGACCCGCACGUGACUGCACGUCGGAGGCCCGUGAAUCAGACGAAGAUUCAGUGGCUUAUUUUAACUCAUUAAAAAAAGGAAAAUUAAUUCAACUUACUAUCGUUUUGUUUUUUCAAUAAUUUUAUAAAUUAAUUUUGUAUUAAUUAUUAUUAAGAACAUAUAAUUGAGACUCGUAAUUUGAUGCACGUAUUAGUUCUUUCACACAAAAAAGAAAUUUUUUUUUGGGUCUAAAAGGCUGUUAUAUCUUUUCAAGUAUAUUUCUCUAAAACAUUUUUGCUGAAAUUGAUUAGAAAUGAGAGUACUUUUAGGUACAAAAGUUUGAUCGAAAGAUAUUAUAAAUAGAUGAGAAAAAAAUGACAUUUGAAAUAAUUGAGAGAGACACAUUUAAUGAGUACGUAAAAUAGUCAUUUGAUAUAGAGUAGUCGAAUUAAACCAGCUAAAGAAACUAUCAGAAUUUGCUAAAUUUCUGAAAAAUUGAGAGGAUAGAUGUGCUAAUAUCAAGCUUACAUAAAUAAAAUAGAAAUUUUCUUUUGUGUAAUAAUAAAGGGUCUUCUACUCUAAUGCCAAGUUUAAUCAUGGAAAAUCAUUUAUGAGUUGCGAUCAAGAAAUAUCUUGCAAACAAAAAAGGGAAAAAAUAAAAAAAACCUUCUUAUCUUAAAGUACACUAGGCCCUGUGAGGUGGGCUCGUGUUGUAAGAGAGAGCGCGAGGCCCAUAUAUCAGCCCAAUAUUGAAAUGAUAAUCCCGAUUCAACUCAUCAUAAAGCCCACUAAGUGGUAGGCCCAAAAUCAUAUCCCCGGCGUAGCCAUUCGGAUUUAUUCGCGCCAAGAACUUUUGGACCUGAUAUUUUUUAAAAAAAUGGCCCAGCCUAAUAACGAUCCACUUCGAAGGCAAAUGAUCUGGUGAACCUAGUUCACCACGUCAGCAAGGGUCCUAUGGACCGUUCUCCGUUUUCAGUUCUCCGUCGAUGUCGACCUCCCUCUUUUUAAAAAAUCUCAGCGAGAGAGAGAGAUAGAGAGAGAGAGAGAGAGAGAGGGAGAGAUGGACGCACGUCCUUCAACCGUGAAAGCUGCGCCUAAACUAUAUCUUCUCGUGUAAGCUUCUCUCUGUGCUCCCUCUCCCCUCCUACAUAGAGUCCUCAUCUCUCUCUCUCUCUCUCUCUCUCUCUCUCUCUCUCUAUCUCUCUCAUGGAACCUGGCCAAUGCUCUGGCUCCAAGGAGGACGACGUCGCCUGGGCCAAACUCGGUACAAUCCCCUAUCUCCCUCUCUCUAUCUUCCCCUGUAGUCCGAGAUCUAGGGUUUUGGAAUUAUAGGGUUUUGAUCGCGAUUUUGUUAAUCUUGGCUACGCUGAAUGCAAUAAUUUGAAGUCGAAUUAGUUUGCGUAAUCUUACUUGAGGCGUUAUUUCUCGGCGGUGGCAGUGCCCGCCGACUCCAGGUACUCGGAAGUGUACAUCAGGUGCGGGGACGCGACGGUGUGCUCGGAAGUAUCGAGCUCGUCGGCGGAGAAGUUCACAUGGUGCGAGAUAACGCCCAGCUCCGAGAAGGAUUCGGCGACGAUCAGAAACUUGAGGUUUGGUCUCCUGAUUUUUCGAUGUUUUGCGAUCUUAAUUGGACAUUUCGUGAAUCCCCUUCUAGUGUUCUCUAAUAAAUUGUAGAAAUAACUGUGUAGUAAAAACUUGUUUUUUAUUUACACUAGAACUCAGCACUACAUUGAGUGAUCUAUUGUCAUGUUUCAACUUUCGGUUUGUGCACUUCAGAAGGUUCUCUAUACGAGAAGUUUAAGCAUUAAACUGAGUGUUCGUAUGUAUGUUUCCACUUGUACUUUAUUAUUGGUACUCAACCGUAAGUGAUUCCAUGCUUUUAAACUAUUAGGUUCUUCUCUUUGUUUUGCUACCUCGUAGACGUAUCUCCUAAGAAAAUUCUUUUAUACGUUGUUUCUAAAUAUGCUUGGUAUUGAGAGUUCUAUUUCUUUAGGAUUUUCAUGAUGCCUCCCAUCUGAAAGUUGCUUUAACGUUUUUCUUUCUCACUUCAAUGGUGAAGUUCAAAUGGCAUCAUUGUUGAUGGGAAUAUUGUUGAAGAAGAAGCAGUGGAUAUAAAAAGUGGAACUGAAGUCAUUUCAGGGCCUGAUAAAGAAGGUAAAACAAUAUUCUUUUUGUUAUUUUUGGGACUAUUAACUGAGCUUCUUUGAAGAGGUUAUCUCAAAGGUAAUUAUGUCUGUCUUGACCCUUAGUCUUCUUUUCAGGAUAUUUAUGUUAUACAUUCAAAGUAAUACCUUUCGAGAUACGCAACAAAAAGAAUGUUCAGGUAACUGCCUUGAACAUCUUGGACCAUUCAAUUCAAUUAUUUAAUUAUUUGUGAUGUAUAUUCUAAAUUGUUACUCCACAUUCAUUGCUAGAUUGUCUUAGAUGUUGAACAUGCAAAAUGCAGCAUAUGCUUAAACAUAUGGCAUGAUGUUGUUACAGUCGCUCCUUGUCUCCACAACUUCUGGUACUUAAUCGUUUUCUUCACUGCUUUCCUUUACUUCAUGAUACUUCUUUCGCAAAGAUGAAUUCUAACCAUCUUUAUCCUUCUUAAAGUAACGGUUGCUUCUCGGAGUGGCUAAGGAGGUCUUCAACCCGCUCACGUGACAAUGUGCAAAAUGUAGUGUGCCCGCAGUGCAGGGCAAAUGUACACUCUGUUGGAAAAAAUCACUUUUUACGCAAUAUUGAAGAGGUACAGUUGCUUUGACUUAAUAUUUCUAUAUUCUUCAAAUUGUGGAAUCCUAUUGUUUUAUUUUGCUCAUAUUGUGAGUUCAGAUUUUGAAGAAGUUUAAUUUGUUUCAACUUUCAUCAUUUCAUGAAGAUGACCAUAAUCAAGAAGAAGAGAAUGUUGGUAGCUCGUGGUUUUAUGAGGAAUUUGUUUCUAAGUUUUAGGAGUUAGGUUGCUUGUGUUGUAUAACUUUGGAUCAUAUAAUCAAUAGGCAAUCCCUUUUAUGAACAGAUGGUGCGAAGGAUAGCCUUAAUAGUUUUCUUUCCUUCUUUCGCUUUCUAAAUUUACUUUUUUUUUUUUUGGUUUACUUGCUUGAUUAUAUCCAUCUACACAAGAAGUGUAUGAAAUGAUUAAUCAUUUAGGUGUUGUGUCUAUUCAUGUGACCGCUAUUCAAAUUUAUAUCAUCUAGCCUCAUUGCACAUGCUGCAUUGCAAAUACAUGGUGUGGCUUUGCUCCUUUGGCUUUUGACUUUGGAUGUGUGUGGAACUGUUUUAAUUUUAAAUUUCUGUAUGUCCUGUGUUGUGUAUUAAAAUAAAUGGAGCAGUGAGAUCUCCAUGGUUGUCACAGUUCAUGACUUCGUGUACAUCUGAGAUGACUAAUGUUGUGUGCUGUUGUUGUUCUCAUGUCCAGUUAAUCUGCAUAUGUUAGAUAGGGAAAUCAAUUUUCCCUUUUUGCGUGUUUGUUCUCUUGUUUUUGCUAUUUCUCAUCUUAAUCUGUUUUGUGUAGGCAAUCCUGCAAACUCAUUCUUCACUAAAGCGUUCUGAUGAAGAAAUUGCUUUAUUAGAUACGUAUGCCUCGAUUAAAUCAAAUCUUGUAAGUUCAAAUGUUUAUUAAAAAAGGUAUUGUUUAUUUUUAGAUUAAGAAGACUGGUAGUGAAUCAAUCUCAGAGAGUCUUUUCAAAGAUGUUUAUAUAGCUUCUGUGUAUCUAACCGCAUGUUGCAGUUUGAUUCUUUAGACGAUCUCUCUUAAGUUUUUAAAACAUCACCUACUUAGAUUGGGAUUUAUGAGUUUAAUUAGUGAUAUCAAUCAGUUCGUCUGCUUAUUAUGCAUAUUAAUAAUGUAUAUCUACAGUAUGCUUCUAUUCAAAAUAGAUGUAGAUAUGUACAGACAUAGACGCAGACACAACGGACACAUACACCCACAUAAUAAGACAACAGUACUUUUACAAUGUUAAAACUGUAAGAUGAUCUACCCAAGACAUCAAUGGUUGAGAGAGAGCAUGAAGUGGAAUCUUCCUGACCAAAUAGUCAGGAAUCUUUGAAUUGACAAUGAUGAGUUCACAAAUCUUGUUGAGCACUGGAGCUUGAGGAGAUUAUUAGAUAUAGAAGUUACUAAUCGUAGCAAAGGUCCUUUUGCAGAUCAAACCUUGUGAUAUUUGAAUGUCCUCGAGCUUUCUCUUCUUUGACUUUUACUAAAACUAUGUUAUCUGAAGAAGGCUUGAAAUAGUAAAGAUUUUCUUCAAGUUGAAUUGUGCCAGUUUUUCUAAAUAUUGACACCUUGAUUUGUGUGCAGUCCCACCUUUGGAUGUUUGAUGCAUGCUAACCUCACAUCAAAUUUAUUAUUAUCAUGUGCAUUUUCUUGUUGUCUUAGAUUAACUAAUCUGGAAAUUUUCAUCAGGUUAACUUUUUUGGAAACUCCCUUUAUUUUACUUCUCUUAGGUAUUGGGAAGGCAGAAAAACCCAUCAAGAAAGCGACCUUUGUCUCUGUCAAGUGAUGAAAGCAACAUCACAGAUCUUCCUUGCCCACAGUGUGGUAAUAUAGAAGCCUUCAAUAUUGUAGCUUAUAGUUAAAAAAAUGUUAUUGUGCAUUUUAUUAAUGGCGAACAAGAUGAUCAUCAAGCUUAAACAUGCUACUGAUCAAAAGAGCUAAUGUAUGAGAGUUGUGUGCACUUGUUAUACAUGUCGAAAAUAUAGUCCGAAUUAGGACUAACUUGUUUCAAUAUAGUUUUAAACAAAAGUUCUUGAUUUUGAUCAUUUUGCUCUUAAUGUCUCAACCAUUUUUAUUUAGAAGUGGCGCCUAUAUUUUUAGCAGCUUGUUGACUCAUAUUUUGGGUGUUGAAAUAGAUUGUUUUUACAUGGCUGAAGUCCUUACUGUGUAGCUUGAAUCUCUUUUUAACGCUAUACAAUUUUCACCAGGCACUGAAUUUGGUGGAUUUAGAUGCAGUCCAGGCACAGCACACUUGCAAUGUCAAGGAUGUGGCGGAUUAAUGCCAUCUAGACCUAAUAACGGUGUACCACAACAUUGUAAUUAUCUACUUUUCAUGUUUUAUUAGUUUGUAAGUUUAGAUUUCCAAUACAGGCCUUCACCACAUAUUAACUUCAAAUCACUGGUGUUAUUUUCUCUUAGAUACUGUCAAUUUCUGAUCUCAUCACGUUGAAAUAGAUCUUUGUUCUAACUUUGAACUUGUUAUUUGACUCUUUUCAGUUUGUGUAGCAAUAUUCUAUGUUUAUUCACCAUAAUUUAUAUCUACCUCUUAUGUUCUUCACAAAUGGCUAUUCAAUCAGGGCAAUUCUGUAAUGCAGGCUUAGGUUGUGAUAGGGCAUUUUGUGCGGCUUAUUGGUGUUCACAAGGUGUGGAUUCGAGUGAAUUUGAUCUAAUCUGCCAUCGGGACACAUUCAAACCAGUAUGCUAUGUUGCCAUUUUUUUUUUUUUUUUUUUUUUGCCCUUGAUUUAUCAUCCUUCAAUUUUAAAUUUGUUAACCCGUAGGUCCUGUACCAUCUAUGCUACAUUCUUUCAGAAAUAGCCUUUGAUGGAGAUUAAAAAAAUUAAACUAUUAAUCAAUUCACUUGUGUUACUGCUUUUGUCUUCAUUAUAAGCUUAUUCUAUCUAUAUAUACGGCAACUUUAUAGUGCUAAAAGAUUGCCACUACUGUAGUCUACAGUUUGUAUGAUUUGGUAAACGGUUAAUUAUACUGACUCGGUGAAUCUACGUUGCCGCUUGUUGUCAGCACAUGGACAAUUUAAUUUAAUAGCUGUAUAAUAUCCUUGUAUUAUACGUACACAGUUAUAUACCUCUUGGAAAAAUUAGGAUAUUUCUUCAUUCUGCAGAUAUCGGAGCGCACUAUUUCCAGAAUUCCUGAUCUGGUGCACCAGAACAAUCCUUAUGAAAGAGAUGUACGAGAUCAUAUACUAUAUGCAUUGGAACAAAUAUAUUACUUUUAUAUAUCAAAAUGAUUGGUCUCUGAUCUGACUACGUACAUAAAUUGUUCUGUUAGAUUACAGAAAGGUGCAUACAGCAGACAGGGAAGACACCGCAGGCUGUAAUCUCAGAGUGGAUUACCAAAUUUGACAACAAGCAAAUAGGUAAACUCUUUAUGUUCUCAAUUCCUACUAAUUCAAUGACCUUGAAAAAUGUUAUGAGCCCAUAUGCAUUUACAUAUGAUGCAUAGAGAAUAUAGUUUGUUGCUUGAUAUAUUGAUUACAUAAUUUUUUAUUUUGCUUCAAGUUAUUCACCAGCCAUUUCAAAGAGGCCUUGUUGUGUGUAAUGACAGUUGUCUUCUUGGAACUUACAUUUUUGGAAUUUUUUGUGUUUUUUUUCCUGGUCCUCGCAGACCGUUCAAGGUUGCAGAUAAACCAUGGCGAGACAAUUACUUCCCAAACACAUCUUUGCUAGUAAGUAGCCUUUUUGUGUCUGGCCUUUCUACUGAUGCAGUGACGUCCUGCAUGCUAGAAAAAGUGUGUAGAAAGUUCUUUAUAUCAGGGACUUUGUGCAAAAUUGUGAGGCAUUGAACUAUUUGGUUUCUAAAAAUGCUAGGCUCUUUUUGUAGUUCCCAGUUAAAAAUAGCAUGGUAACAUUCCACGAGUGAAAUGUAUUUGAUAGGUGUUACGAUAUCUGGUUGAUUGAGCAUUAUGUACUGAUUUAUUCUCUCAAUCUUUCUGGGGGAUAGAAAACCCUUUAUUUUUGAAAUUUAUUAUUAGCUUUGAGUUCCUAUUGACUUCCAACUUACAAGAAUAUCCUAUCUUCCUAUUUUUGAAAUGGAUGCAGUGAUUGCUACAAUAAAUUGGUUGAUUACCUCUUGUACUGGUUUCGAGUGUCGCUGCCUAGUAAUGUGCGUACUUCUUAUCCUUUUCUCGAGAAUUCCUACUAUUAUUAGUUUGCAUUAAAAAGAUGCUACUCAAACAUUAUACAAUUGAAGUUUGAUUACAGUUGCCUUUUCCAUGAUCUUUGGUUCUUAUGGAGAAGGAAAAAAAUGAUCAUGUUUCGUUUGUUUUUGCAAGUCCAUUUAUUCAUAAUCACUCAUGAACAAAAAUUAUUUGCUCUAACAUCUGCACUUUACAUUUGAUAAAUCUCAUCAUUCAGACUUAUUAUUUGUUAUAUUAUUACAUGAUAGUUGUGUUUCUUUUGCCAACUGUUUUCUUCUGUUCAUUUCCUUUCUCCCCCCCCCUCUUUCCAGCUUCUUCCGCCAGAUGCGGUCAACAGGGAGAACUGUUGGUAUGGUUACGUCUGUCGUACCCAGCACCACAAUGUUGAACAUGCUCGGAAAAGGAACCAUGUGUGCCGUCCGACAAGAGGCAAUACAUGAGUGAUGGUUCUCUUUCAACAAUUCUCUAACACCUAAAGGAGGAAAUAGAAAAGCAAAGGAAGAAGACAUAAGUUAUAAUCUACCAUUAUAUAUUUCAGCGGCAUUUUGUCUGUUGUUCCCCUCGAAUCCUGAGAUCUCAAUUAGCUCUCGUCUUGCAAAGUUUGAUGUAUGCUAGUGUCUUUUUCGUGUGAUCUUUAAAGUUGGCCGAGUAUCUCUACUGUGAAAGCAAUCCAUUAAUCUGUUUUUUUAUAUAUAUAUCUUCAAUUAACAUCAGUAGCUGAGUCAUUUUUUGUCUCUCCCUUCUUUUUAUCCCUUUAGCCGUGUCCUAAUUCAAUAUUCGAAAAUUGUUCUACUGUUAUGAUUGUGACGGCCAAUUUAAGGAAAUAGAACAGUAUGUGAACUCUCGUAGGGUUCGUAGAGGAAGUGUUUUUCUCUGUUUUCUUUUUCUUUUUUCUUUUCCGGUCAUAAGGAGUAGCUCAAAAGCCCCACGAGACCUAUCUAUAUAUUGGGCGGUUUGGGUUUUCAAAUUAGAUGCUUUUUAAGUGUUAUUAUUUUUAAUUUUUACCCCAUCGAGUCACAUUCGAUAUUUUGUUGGUGUCUCCUACGCUCGGUGCCAAAACAGUAUUAAUGGAGCCGAGUACGUUUGGUACUAUUAAAACCAACAUACUAUACUGUAGGUGUCAGCUCAUUUAUGUCCUGGUACCUUAUUGGAGUGUUGCCCUUGAACCUGCUGAACGUUUGUCCAAAGAUUUUGAACUACGCCACCACCGACAUUCAAAAAGAGUCUAGUCAACCUUACAAAUAGGUCACCGACCGUUUCUAGAGCAAGUGAUAAAAAAUUUGGUGGUUGAUAUUCGAGAUCCAAGUUUGAAUCUUAGUUGAUUCAUAUUUUUAGUUAAGUUUAUUUUUAAAUGAAAUAAACGAAGUAGAUAGUGUGCUAUCUAUCUCUCUUUCUCUCUCAAAAAAAAAAAAAAAAAAAAAAAAAAACAACCUUACAAAGUGGUACACUUCAUUUUCCUUAAAAUAAAAUACUGCAUGGACUUAUCCCGCAAGCUCAGAUCAUUUAUUAAAAUGCAACACAUACUUUGGAAAAAGAUUGUGUGGCAAAUUGCAUGGCUUUAGAGUAGCUUUUUUUUAAUAUUAAAAGUAGUAUUUACAGAAAAGCGAGAAAUUGAAGUUUAUAAAUAGUUGAAGGGUAAAUAAAUUUUGAGUUACAAACAAAAACAGCGUUUAGGUAGAAACCAAUGUGUUUUCUGACGCAGGAAGUGGUCGAGAAUAUCUGAAAGGAAAAAAGUUAGUAGUGUUAUUUUAAUUAAGAGCUUUAGCCGGGUUAAACAUAUUUAAAGAACACUUACAUGAUUUGUAUGUUUCAAUUGAUCCAAACAGGCCUAUUCAUAUACUCACCGAUAAAUUUGAACCUAAUUUUACCCAUGCUGCUGAAGAUGCAUUACUUAUGUCCAUCUCUUGGGUAAACAAAAAACAGCGUUCGACCUGCUUACCCAAAAAACAGCGUUCGACCUGCUUAAGUGAAGGAUUAUAUUACAAGAGGAGGACACCCUUACGUGAAGGCAGAAUGUUUCGACCUGCUUCACAAUGAUGGAAGAGUGUACUUUCUACUAAAGAUACCUUUAAAAGUGACAAAUGCUUUGAUCUCGGUGAUGGGCGGUCUGUUGACUUUUGGUCUGAUAGGUGGUAUGGUGACGCUCAUUUGAAAACACUUUUUUUUCGAUAUUUAUGAGAAAGUAGCUAAGAAGAGACUUUUAAUCAAGGAGUGUCGCUUCCUAUAAGGUUGGAGAUGGAAAAAAAUCCUACGAGGAACGGCGGUCCGGUUGUCGAGGGGUGACUGCCGAAUCAGAGAAUUCAAAGAGUUUCUCUCAAGUUUCCAAGUAGCGGACAGGCCGGAUGAAAUUCGAUGGAGAUGGAAUGCUGGAAGGAGUUUUACUGUUAAGUCUAUGUAUGUACUGGUCUGAGAUGGGGGAGUACUAGAUUUUCUUUCGCUGAAGGUUUGGGAGUUGAAAAUAUCAUCUAAAGUUAGAAUUUUUAUUUAGUUAGCACUUAAAAAACGUCCACCUACGUUUGACAACUUACUCAAAAGAGGGUAGUCCGAGAAUCAACAGUGCGUGAUGUGCAGCAACGAUGUUAAGACUGUUGAUCAUCUGCUUGUUGGAUGCGUAAUCAGCAAAUUUUUAAUGUUCAACAUCCUAGAAGGUAGGUACAUUCCGUGGCCUGGGAUGGAUGUCAGGGAUGUCUGGGAACUUCUGGUUAGGGACCGCCCUCCGAGGACAACAGCGAGGGAUUUAAUCAGGGUCGCAACCUGUUGGUGGAUGAUCUGGCGGGAAAAAAACGACGUAAUUUUUAGAAAUCAUUCAUUUGACCUUUUGUGACAAUUAGACGAAUCCGAGAAGUGAGCGAAAAAUGGAUUGAGUUUUGCUGCUUUUAGUUACUUGAUCUCGAGUGAGGAGUAGAAGUAGUAAUUUUUCUACGACUUUUUCUCUUUGCUUUUAUUUGUAUUUUCUGUUUUGUUUACCUUUAAUAUUUUUCGAGGCCAUGUUGCCUCAACCCCCUGUAGUCAAAUUUAUUUGCUAAAUGAAUAAAGCGGGUAGCGUACUACCUUUUUCUCUCUAAAAAAAAAAAAGAUAAAAACGAUGGAGCCCAAUAAUAAACUAUUUGUUUUGUUUGCUUUUUUUAAAAUAAACUUUAAUUUAAAAAUACGAAGUAAACUUUGAUCUGUAUUUGGAUCCCUCAAUUCAAACCAACAACAGCACCAAUGGCGCCUGGAGAGAGAGGGAGAGAGAGAGAGAAUCUUAUUAUUAUUAUUAUUAUUAGGGAAAACUUCAAAUAGUCCCAUUGUGGUUUUACUUUUUCUCAUUUUAGUAUCCUAUUGUUUAAGGAGUAUCAAGUUAGUAUCAUGUGGUUUUACACUUUUUCACUUUAGUACCCUGUGGUUUAAAAUGUAUCAAGUUAGUAUUGUGUGGUUUCGCAGUUUCUCACUUUAGCACCCUAUGGUUUCGUACUUUCUCAUUUUAAUACUCCGUGAUUUUUAAACCACAAGGUACUAACUUGAUACAAAAAUGAAAUCACAGAAUACUAACUUGAUACAAAAAUAAAAUUAUAGAGUACUAACUUGAUAUAUUUUAAACCACACGGUACUAAAAUGAGAAUUUACAAAACCACAGGUACUAACUUGAUACACUUUAAAUUGUCGAAUACUAAAAUAAAAAUUACGAAACUAUAAGGAUUUUUUUUUAAAAAAAGUUUUCCCUUAUUAUUAUGGAGAGGUGGGGGGCCAGAGACAGCAUGAUGGGGUGUCUGACGCGGGACUGCUCAUUUCCACGUGUCUUGGCGUGUACGGCCUCCGAUGCAUCAAAAAUGAAAGAGAGGGUACGGCCCCCUGAUCGCCGCAGAUCGCAAAAGUUAGGCGGAGCUGCUCCUACUGCUGCUGCCUGCUGCUACGCGCAAUCGCCUCUCUCUCUCUCUCUCUCUCUCUCUCUCUCUCUCCAUAGUCCAUCCUUCUCCCUCUGUGGCUGACUGUGGGGCCCCACAAAAAAAGAUUAAAAAAUAGAUUAAAAAAAUAAAAAUGAGGAAGGAGCCAGUGACGUCGCCCCACGCGUCCGGCGGAUAAGUCGUGCAGCGUUUUACGAGCUGUUACAUCCGUGACCCCGACCGCCGGCCCGACUCUUCCCUAAUCCUGUGCCAGAGUACUUGUACUGCCGGUCCUUCUCGGAGUUGAGAAGAUACCGGUGGAACCCAUCCCUCCUCCCAUUAACGCCGUCUCGCAUUUUGGGACCUCACUUGUUAGAAUAAUAAUAUUUCUACACAACUUAUUUUUUCCACUACCGUUCAUUAUUUUUAUUUAAUAAUUCAGAUUUUUUUAAAAAAAACAAAAAUUAUAAUCUGCCAUAAUAGAUAUUUUAAAAGAGACACUGAUUAUCAGGUACAGAACAAAAAAGUCAUUUUGGUCUUUUUAAUAUUGUGUGAAUAAUUUAGUAAUCUUAUCUUUACUACAAAAAAAUCAAAUCUCUAUUCUCUUUUUAUUUUCUUUUUCUCUCUCUAUUUUUCCUCUUCAUCAACAGUAGGGUAGGAUUCGGGACGGAUUUCCAAAAAUCCGAAUCCGAAUCCAAAUAUGAAAAAUUUUAAAAAAUCAUAUUCACAUCCGUACCUGACUAAAAGUCCAAAACCCGAAUCCUAAUCCGAACAUGAAAAUCCAAACCCGAAAUAUUUAUUUUUCCUUACAAUAUUUUAAAAUAAUAUUAAAUUAAAUCUAAAUUUAUAAAAUACAUAUUCAAAUAUAAUAUCAAAUAUUUACAUAUAUUAUAUAUAUCAAAAAAUAAAUUCGGGUUCGGAUCAGAUACAAUCAAAAUCCAUACCAUGAAUUUAAAUCCGUCGGAUUUUUCAUUUUUGAUAUCCAUAUUUAAAACUAUAUCCAUUUAGUAUAGAUAAAUCCACCGCAUUUGCUUUCAGAUUUGGAUUCAGAUUCAUAUAAAAUUAUUGAGAUCCGUUCCCAUUGACAUCCAUAAUCCACAAAUAUUUUGUUAUUUUAUAUCCGUAAUCUACAGAUAUUUCAUUAAAAAAAAUUACAAUAUAUUAAAUUCGUUGAAUUUAAAUUUUUUUUCCUACAUUCAAAAUUUUUUAAAGUUUGUGAUAAAAAGUUAAUAUCUUAACUAGAAGAAUUUAAAAGCUUCUUAAACAAACUAAAUAUGUUGAAUUCGUUAUUAUCAACAUUAAAUUUGUUAAAAUAAUAACACAAAAUUUUUCUUACUUAAAUAUCAAAUUUAAAUAUCAAAUAUUUAAAUUCAACAUAUUUGUUACCACUUUUAAAAUUUUUAAAAUUAAAAUUAAUGCCUAAAUUAGAAGAAUUCUAAAAUGCCUAAAAUUUGGGACAUCAAUCAAAUUUUAAUUUAAUAUUUAAAUUAGUUGCAAAAGAAAUGCUAAAUUUGGGAUAUUAAUCAAAACUUUUUUAAAAUUUUACCUGAACCUUCAUUAAUCAACGGUUAAGAUCUUUUUUAUUUUUUACAAAAUAAAAGUAUCAAAUCUUUUCUCCACUUGUUAGCCAUUGUAUGCCAUCUGCAAAAGAAUAAUAUAAUAAAAUUUUGUUUUUCUUUCCUUCGAAAUAGGAGAUUCGAAUAGAUUUUCCUACUUCGGACAAGGGCCCGCCGUGUUUCAUGCGGGCCCCUCCCAAUCAACGAGCUCUCCGAUUUUAGAGAGACGAUCACGACUCCUCUGCGAAUGGCUGUGAACACAUUCUGUCGGUAAUGAGCGAAGAAAUUGGUUCAUACGUAUAAAACUUACAUUCAAACUUCAAGAACACUACACUACUUGUGGACAAAAUCAGAACAAAGUAACUUGAAAUAUUUUCCACCCAGAUUGAAUUUGUUCCAAAUUUAAUCCUACCCUUUAUAAAGUGCUUCAACUAUGUAUAUUUUUUUCCCCAAUACUACCAUGUCGAAUUGGAUAAAACAUGUCCGCGCAUCUUUAGAUAAUCCUAAGCAAGCCCAACGCACAAAAAACAAAAAGAAAGAACAAAAGAAAAAAAAAAAGAAAAAAAGAACUUACCACAAAUGAGAGACUAAGUGGGAAUACCAUUAAUUAGGUAGGUGCAAGAGUCAAAGUGUGGACACUCAAUCAGGUACUAGGGCAAUAAUUCAUUAGAAUUCGUGUUUUAGGGUACGAGUUAGGUGCGAGAGAUGUACCAUUUUGCACAUCCUUUGAUUUGUUUAAUCGUUGCGGAGAUUACACUUUUUGACAAAGCUUAGCCAUAUGUGUGAAGCAGGUCCAGGAACUUUGUCACUUAAAAAAAUAAUUAAAAGAAAGCUUUUGCUAAUAUGUACAUAUAAUAAGCAACUUUGUUAAUCAUUAUGGUUGCUUCUUACUCGACGCGCGGUAGGUAGUGGUACUUUUGUUCCCGAACAUUUAAAAGCGAAAGUAACAAAUGUACUAAAAACUAUCACUACAGUAAAUAAAUAUUGUUUAUUAAUAUUUAUUCAUCGAGAUUUUUUUUUCCUCUGCCAAAAAAAAUAAUAUAAAAUAUAUCAAUUAUAUUACUGAUGUGGUGUCACCAAUCACCCGUCCUAUCAUGAUUAAUAAAAAAAUAUUUUUAUUUUACUCUUUACUCAAAAGUGAGAUGUAAUUGGCUGUUAAUAAAUAAUAUAAUGUGACUGAUACACAAUAGAAUCUCUUCUGCCAAAAUACUUGUGCGUCUUUGGUUUCACUUGCCUCUGGUUAUACUGAAAUACUUUUUUUAGAGAUAAACAGAGUAGUGUAAUUUUGCAUCGCUUUCAAUAAUGAAAAUUUUGAAUUGAUGAUGGACAUCAUCAAGCACGAUUUAAGUUAUUUGAAUAUUUUAGAAAAUAAAUUUUAUGAUUUUAAGAUAUCAUUUACUUAGUAAUCAAAUUGUCUCAAAUUCAUUUUCCAUAAAUUUCAACAGUGUCAAUCAUUGAUUCGAAUAAUCUAGCUAAAAAAAUAUGCAGAAGUAAAUAGCCUGAUUUAAUUCCAGAAAUAUUUUAGCCGAGAGAGAAAAAGUUAGGCUAAACAUUUCUUAGGUGUAAUUGAGGGAGUUUUCUUCCGCAUCAUUUCUGGCAAUAAAAAACUGAAUUGAUAAUCGGUACCAUAAAAUACAAAGUAAGGUAUUUAAACUUUUAAACUCCAUAAUAUUAGAAUAUCAUUUAAUAACAACUUAAAAAAAUUAUAUGUCUAGUGAGCAAGUAAUCUCAAAUUUACUGUAUAUUAGCCGUUGACAAUUAUUAAUUCUGAGGCAAUUUGAAUACUACGUAAAAAUAUUGGAAAAAUCAAAAAUUUGAAACAUGAGAAGUUUAGAUAGUUUAAAUCAAAUUUAACAGUCUGAAUCUCAUUGAAAGCACUGCAGAAGUUACAGCCUCAUUUACUUCUAGUCUCUAUAUAUAUUCUACUCUUAGUCCCUCUCUCUCUCUCUCUCUCUCUCUCUCUCUCUCUCUCUCUCUCUAUAUAUAUAUAUAUAUAUUUAUAAACUCCUAUACAAAAUAUGUCUUACACCACAAGCAUCCAAACUCCCAUCUUCUCUUUAUCCUCUUAUCAUUUUUUUUUCACACUAAAACUCAUUUGAAUUUUAGUGAAUCCCAAAACACAAAGAGCGUAAGAUUUACACCUAUCAGACAAUAUUUUCCAUAUUUGAAAAUCUAGUUAUAAAAAGCAAAUAAAUGAAAUAGGACAAAAGAAAAAAGUGGACGCAUGGUACGACAUGAAUAUUUAUGAAUACAUAAUCAACAAACUUUACGAGAACAAUUAUUAGAGAAUUGAUAUUUUUCAAAGAUAUUGUUCUGAUUUUACAUCUAGCAAUGAUUUAGACUCUCUUAUUUUGACAGCAUCAAAAUUAGUUGUGUAGAUAUCAAGUCCCAGAUGAUGAUUAACAUAUAAAAUGGAGCAUAACAAAUUUGAACAACUGGAAUAAGAUACACUGGGAGUUGUGAGAGUGCAAUUUCAAGGCGACUGCAGCGUGUGUUGACUUUUGCAAACGAAGAUCAAAUAAUGUUCGGGGCCCCAACUGGGCUGUCUCAAAAUAAGAGGCAAAUAACAGCUCCACGUAGCUCGCACAGUGCAGUCGCUGUACUUAACCACAAAAUGAAAAAGAUGUCACAUUCCUUAAACAUUAUGCAAUUUAUUUAACAAUCUACAAUUAUUUCACUCAAUCAUCCAGUGCUUUACUUUGUUAUUAAUAACUCUUUUCCUUUCUUUUCCUUUUUUUUGACAAUUUUAAAUAAGAGGGGUUAACUCAAUCAAUUGUCUGAUUGAAAAUUAUUAAAAAAUUAACAAAACUCAGAGAGUUAAGAAUGGAUGAUUGUUCAAAAAUUAUAUAUAUAAACUUAUUUUUAAAUAUAAAAAUAUAUAAACACCCUUCUCUAACAACUUAAACUUUUAAAUUACGACGGUUAUUUCACAUGGUAUCAAAAUAGGAGGCCAUGAAUUCAAGUUACGUCAGAGUCCUAAUAUUAUUAAUUUUAUUCUAUUUAAUUCAAAUCCACGUCAUGACCCUUGUAAAAAAAAGUCUGGAACCCAGACAUGAAAAAGAAUGUUAAAUAUAAAAAUUUAUAAAUACUGUUCUCUAAUAACUUAAGCUUUUAGACUACUGAGAAUACUAUAAUACACACACCCGAAAAUGUUAGUUUUGUAUGCUUGUUACAAUGUAGGCUUAAUAAUAAAAAUCUUCUCUGGAUUUCAUCCUGUAAAAAAAUUUGACAUUAAAAAUUACAUUAACUUUUGAUGAAAAAAACUAACGGUCCAUCCUACACUUUAGUCUUCUGCCAAAUGUAUCUAAAAUUUAAAAAUUACAUUAACUUUUGAUGAAAAAAACUAACGGUGAUGAUGUGGAAAAAUCAUUUGACAUUAAAAAUACAUAAUUCUCGCUUGUGAAUACUUUUUCCUAAUUUCUUUUGAAUUUCGAUAUUUGACCAUGCGUGCUUGAAAAAAUUUAAAUGGACUUAAAAAGAUGCUAUCUCAACAUGCAAUCGUUAAAGUUAACUAAAACACUUAAUAGAACAACCUAUUUGAUAUAGAAUUGAAUUAUUUAUGCAAAAAAAAUAUUUGAGAUACAUAGUAAAGUGCAAAAAGAAUUUACAUAAUUAAGUCUACAAUAUAAAAAUCUGAAUCAAAUCGUACAUAUGAUCCUAAAUUAAAGCAUUGUGCAUUUUCCAAAUCAAAACAUCACUCAAUUUACUGGGCAAAAAAUUUUGUGGGCAUCCGUUGUUUGGGGAUGAAGCGGCGCGUGGUUUGCAGGCGCCCAUUCCGCCGCCCAUUUUUCUCACCUGCUUCCUUUUCUCUCUCUCUCUCUCUCUAAAAAUUGGAGCUCACAAAUUUUUUCUUUUUCAUUUUCGAGGGUCAGGUGCAGGCGCCUGUAUAUGAAUAUUUCAAUAAAUUAUUUGAAAACGAUGCCUAUAAAAUUUUUGUGGCAAUUCACUCCAUGCAAGAGAUGAUCACACCGUCAUAAUAAAUAAAGGCCUAAUAAUGCUACUUUGGUGAUUUUAAAGGAUACAUCAUGCACACGAAUCUCGAGGAGCUAAGGAUCACGGGACACAGGUACAAAAGUACUCGCCCCAGAUCACACACCACUCACUCACUCCCCAAACUGAAGCCACAACUGUGACAAAAGUUGUAACUGAGGAGCGAGCCUACGAGGAGUCUUCUUCGUAGCCUACCCCCUUUCUAGAAUGCAAACAGGUAUAUUGAUGACGUGGUGUAACCAAUCAAUCAGAAAUUUUCUUUUAAAAAAUAUAUAUCUCAUCAUGAUUAUAAAAAAAUAUUUUUAUUAUAUUUUUGUUUGAAAAGAAGAAAAGUAAUUGACUUGUCAUUGAUAAUGUGAUACAAGUGUGAUAGUGUAGAAUUCCUCCUCCACCUGAGAGAUAAACCUGAGAGAUAAAGAUGUUUGCCUAAUUUUAGAUACGAAAGUGAAAUUCACCACCUUUUUUUUUUUUCCUUUUCUUCUUGUUUUUUCAAAAAAUAAAAAUAAAAUUAAAUUAACUAAAUCUCUUUAUGGUCCCCUUAUUGGCGUCCCAGCCCUCUUGCUGAGUCCAACUAUAUAUGAGGUUAUAUAUAUAUAUAUAUAUAUAAAACCAAAAUGAGUUCCCCUCCCAUGACAUGAGGAGCCAUUAGUUUUGCUCUCUCUCUCUCUCUCUCUCUCUUUAGACAAAGAGCGCGUCACCCUUCUCCUUCGUAUCAUCAGCUUCUGAUAGAGACCUCCUCCAGUCCUCCUCCUCCUCCUCCUCGUGAAUACGUGAGAAAGGAAAUGUAUCUCACAAGGCCCACAUUUGUAUUCUCCUCCUCAAGUGUGUGUACAAACAUAGAAAGAUUGAUUAGCAGCAGCAUGAGAAAUAGAGAGAGCUGAGAAAACCAUACAUAAGAAAGCGAAAGAUGAAGGCUUUUCUUUUCUUUCUCUUUCCUUUUUUUAUUUUAUUUUUUGCUGGGGGGCCGGGGGUGCAUGCUAAACCGGUAAUAGUAUGAUGAGAGAUUCUCCUUGAAAACGAAAAAGAAGAGAGGGGUAAAAAGGAAUUAUUACUGCACACAAACUAAUUAAUUCCUCAUACAAAUCUUUGUUGCCUCUCUCUCUCUCUCUCUCUCUCUCUCUCUCGCACACUCUCUUGUGGCCCUUGUUAAUUAAUCUGGACCCACAACAAGCUUCUAAAAAAACUCACCGGCGUAGAAAGAUAAUAAUUUAAAGGAAAAGAAAAGAAAAAAAAAAAAAAAAAAAAGAGAGAAAAGGAAAGGAAAAGAAGCGUGGAAGCUAGCUAGUAUUCUCCCACUGAUCAAAGAUAUUCUUAAACCACUCAAAAACUCUGCUUCUAAUAACUCAAUCGAGAAGGGAUCGAGAAAGAGAGAAUCGAUUUUUUUUCCUUUUUUUUUUUUGGUUUAAAAAAAGGGGGAGAUAUUAAUUAAUUUCUACCAUGCGAUAUAAACCUUCUUUCCUUUUUCUCUUGAAGUUUACUACUGUGAACUGGUUUGGUGAUCUUCUCGACUAUCCGCGCCUUGCUGCUGGCGAGCAUGGGAUUGCUGCUGCUGCUGCUGCUGCUGAUGUUGGUGGUGGUGGUGGUGGUGAUCCAACGGUUGAUGAUGGUGGUCGGAGUUCAUUCCCCGAUUAUAAGCGCCGAGAGCGGCGGCGGGGAGCAUCCCGAGGUUGGUGUCGGAGAUGCCGAGCCCCAGAUGCUGCGUCAUCGGCCCCAGGGCGCCGGUGCGGCCUCCGCCGCCCUGGAACUCCAACCCGCCGGAGAAGUUGAUCCUCGACAUGAACUGCAGCGGCGCCUGCACGCUGCUCCCGCCGCCGCCGCCGCCGCCGCCGCCCGCCGCGGCGGCCGCGCGGUACUGCCCGGCCGCCCCGGCCGGGAACGUCCAUAUGGAGGCCUCCGACGGCCCGGCGGCGGAGGGCGCGGCGGAGACGGGGAGCAUCCAGAAGGCCCCGCCCGGCGCAGCGCUGUUCGGGGCCACCGUCCACAUUGCCGCCGCGGAGACGACGCCGCCAGGGGGCCGCACUAGGCCAGCGGCGGCGUCGCCUCCGCCGGAUGCGGCGGUUCUCGACGACUUGGAGGCGGAGGACGGGGAAGAGGGGCCGGCGUCCUGGGGAGGGGUGUUCUGGGGCUCCUCCUUGAAGAGGUCCUCUCUGAAGCGUUUCCUCAAAUAGGUAUCGGACGAGGGCUCUCCUCCUCCCCCUCCCCCUCCCCCUCCCCCUGCGCUUUGCAAACCCUCGGUCAUCUGCUGCUCCGGGGAGAGCAGGUGGUGCUGGUGAUGGGGAUGGGGGUGGUGGUGGUGGUGGUGGGCGUGGAGCUGGUGGAAGCCGAGCAUGGCGGCGGCGGCGGCGGAGGGGUCGUGGGCGGCGAGGGCGAGGGCGUGGAAGGAGUGGGGCCGGGGGGGGGGAGGCGGAGGCGGAGGAGGAGGAGGAGGUGGAGAAGGAGGCGGGCGUGGUGCCGGUGCCGGUGGCGGCGAUGAUGGAGGGCUCGGCCUGGCGGAGCAGCCACUCGAUGGUCUCCCCGUCGGACUUGUGCCCCAGCUCCCGCGUCAGCUGGAACACCCGCGCCGCGCACACCGCCGGCAUCCGGAUCCUCCGCCCCCGCCCCUCCACCUUCGUGUGCCGAUCCUUCGACGACCUCUUCGUCGUCGUCGCUACGGCGGCGCCGGAGGACGAUGGAGAGGGGUCGGGGGCCUUCGCGUGGGGCGCCGGCGCCGACGAGGUGGAGAUGGCGAGGGACGGGUCCACGCGCCCGCCUCCGUGGGCGUGGAUGAGGGACCCCAUGAAAGAGGCCGCACCGCCGCCGCCGCCGCGGCUCUCGAAGGAGACGAGGUGGUGGUGGUGGUGCUGCUGCUGCUCCGACGUGCUUCUGCUGCUGUUCGUUCCUGUACUAUUACUACUAUUCGAAGGCCCGCCUCUUCCUCCGCCUCCUUGCUCUCUCUGGUCCAUCUCUUCUCUCCCGAUAAACCCAAUUUUUCUUUCUUUGAAAUAAUAAUAAUAGUAAUAGUAACAACAACAACAACAACAACAACAACCUUUCUUUCUUUCUUUCUUUCUUUUUAAUCUAUAGGGGUGCUCUAAUUAAAUUUCUUCAAUAAUUCCUCGUUAUGAUUUUUAUCCUACCAUGUUCUUCUUCUCUCCCAUCUCUCUAUUAGUUUACCCUGAAAACUCUUUUAAAAACCACCGAGAAAAAAAAAAAAAUAGAGAGAGAUAGAGAGAGAGAGAGAAUAGAAAGGAAGAGAUGGAGCACCUAGUUAGGGUUUUGGACUCGUCCCAGGGCACGUGCAGGGUCCGGGAUGCUUACUCCGCUGGGCACUGCGUGGGGCUCCUUUCUCUAUUCCCUGCUAAUUCAUUGACUAUUGUCUUCGUGCGCGCCCACCCCCCCCUCCCCUCCCCUCCCCUCUCCCCACCUCUCUCACUCACAAAUAUAAGAAAGAAACAUAGAGGAAGCGAAGAAGAAACGAGUACGAGAAGAAAACAACACAACCGAAGAGAAAGGGAUAGAGGAAAAACCAAAAGAGAGAAAGAGAGAGAGAGAGAGGUCGGUUUGGAUCCUAAACCCUAAUUAAAAAAUCCCUUCCUCACCUUUCGCCUCUAUCUCUCGCCCUUCUCUCUCUCACACUCUCUUUCAUUUUUUUUUUUU
Molecule: long non-coding RNA, 45956 nt
Filed under: Ananas comosus (pineapple)
Lineage: Eukaryota; Viridiplantae; Streptophyta; Magnoliopsida; Poales; Bromeliaceae
Description: long non-coding RNA (ACOM_LNC025159)
Source: RNAcentral